UAGAUGGUGUCCCUGCGGAUCAAUGCGAAAUUUUGAACUAGUUACAUGAUGUCUUACCCCGUAUCUUUUAGGAAGUUUUUUUGCUCAAACCUCCUGUUGCUGUCGGUAUGCAGUAUCUGGGUGCACAAACCGGUGGUGGAUCAGUGUGAAAGAUUGUUUUAUGUUUCUCAUCAAUGUGAGAUUGUUUUAUGGUUAUCUGGUUGUUGUUUCAGAUUUUGUCUAGUUGGUGUUUCUUCCGCAACACAUUGCGAUGUUUGUCUGUCGUCUCCGUAGAACCUUUCUCAUGCCCUUGUAACUGGGUGUUAAUCGAUCUGCCGCACGGCCUUCAAAAUGCGGCCUUGAGCUGGUUAUUAAUUGAACGGCCGUGGCCGCCAAUCGUGCCUUUAAGAUUACAACACGCAAGCACAUUCUGGAAACGAUCAAUUGAAUUGAAAGUUUGACCCCGUGGAUUUUGCUUUCAGAUAUUGAAAAAUUCCAUCAGCAACCACAACUCUAAUAAUUAACUGUAGCUUUGCUAAUUUCAAUAUGGUUAAUGUAAACUCUAAUAAAAAAAUCUUAUUGAAUGUUAUUUGAGCACAUUAUGCUUAAAUUUGUUGGAUUCUCUGGGUUGAUUUUCUUUCUUUUAUCAACAAAAAGAAGGUAGUUACAAUUAUUAAAAAAAAUCAAUACAUUUCAGCGAAAAUCCAUUUCUGCACCCAUGCUCAUCUGCACCGGCGCCGAAGAAAAAAAUCAAAACAAAUACUAGAAAAAUUCAAAAAAUUCCAUUUUUUCUUUGUGGGGUAGACAAUUUGAUGCGUGAGGUCCGAUCCAAUUUUCAAAUCAUUUGGACAUCUGAGGAGCUCUCAGGAAAAAAAAAUUUGGGGGUCUGUAAAAAUGUUUACUGUUCAUGUACUGUUUUGGUCUAAUUUGUCUUUUUUGCUGAGAGCUGCUCAGAUGUCCAAAUGACUUGAAAUUUGUAGCGGACCUCACACAUCAAAUUGUCUACCACACAAAUUUUAUUUGGAAUUUUUUGAAUUUGUUUUGAAUUUUUUACGAAUUUUUUUCUAACCGGGUGCAGAUGAGCGUGGCACCAAAACGCCCUGCUCUACAUUUCAGUGACUUCAAGUCUUUGUAUAUACAGUAUAAGAUUAGAAAUAUGGAAAUAAUAGGUAAUACAGAUGUUGAUAUACACAUACAGAAAUGUAUCAGUGUCUAACUUAUCAUGUGUUAGAGAAAGAGGAUUUGUGGCUCUCGCGUGUUAAACACCCUUAUAUGAAUAUAGCAUUAAAAAACAAAUUAGGAAAUUUUGAAAAGUUCUGAAAUUUUGGGAUGGAACCUAGGUGCCCGUUGUACACUCACGUUCAGUUUCAUGGGGAAGGGGUGCCCGAGGUAAUGUCAGUAAAAAGACAAAAAAAAUCGUAUGUGUAGAAAAAAACUGGAUGUAACGUAUGUCGGACCAUAAUUCCUGCGCCGUGGAUACCACGGACACCGAUUCUCCAUGAAAAUGAACAAGGGUGUACGAUGGGCACCCAGAUUUCAUAUCCAAAUAUUUUCAAAUUCUUUGGAUAUUUUCUGAUAUUUUUUUAAUGCUAUUUAUAUAUAGGGGUGUGUGGCACCGGGGUGCUCCGAUGCAUUUCUCGUGUUAUGCAGCGAAGGGGUAGGAUGCCCUCACAAUACGAGAGCCACUGAGAUAAAACACCAACCAAGCAACAUAGAAGGAUAACAUGCACACAGACAUCCCGCUAGGGAUGCCAGCUAUAUGAGAGAAGUACAAGGCAUGAACAAAGCACGGUAACUAAAGGGGCUUGCUUGAUCACGAGGACGAGCUACAAGAUGCCCCCUUGAUCUAGACAUAAGUCAACCUUGGGCGCCCUUGUUAUUGAAGAAGAGCAGGCAACGCUCGCCGACGCCGCGUCGGCAAGCGUAUACGUCGAUCCUGUCUCCCACGGAGAUACGGCUAUCCCUCAGGAACUCCCUCAACCCAGGCCCAAAGAUCCGGUAGGCCAUGAUGGCAUUGUCGUACUGGAGCGCUGCCACCUUCUCGUCGCCGGCCUCAACGUCGAUGAGGACGGGCACCGCCAGCACGUUCGGCAUGCCGUUGUGGCCAACCUGCUCCAGCUCCCGGAACAGCCUCGGGAUGGGGCCAUCCUGCACCAUCCCCCGGGUAAGCAGCAGCCCGUUCUGGCCUGGAGCGACGUCUGGCCACCGCAUUACCUUGGAGAGCGCCCACUCGGCCCCGUACACGCCAACGGCGGCCAUCCGCAUCUGGUGACGCCGGCGGACGAAGGAGGGCUCGGCCACGAGGGCGUGCCACCGCUUGCACGUCGUGGCGCAACGAAGGAGGGUAGCUGCAUCAGCGACGUGUGUGAGAAUCUCCAGGACGACGUCUUCCGGGAGCUCCGUCCGUUUGAUCUCCGCCCACGGAUUGAUCAUAUCGAAAGAGCCAAACCCUUGGCCAAACGUAUGUCUGUGCUUUUAUUUUUCUUCUAACAACUCAAUUUCAUGAUCUCGAGUCUCUAACAAAAGCACUCGUACCGAUCCUACACCGAAGACGACGACUCGAACAACAACUCCUGGUGUCGCAGGAACAAGGCCAAAGACACAAGUGCAUACGGCAACACUUCCUAAUCCAGUCUUGCUAAGUCUCAGUCGAUGAUAUAUUCAUGAGAUCUUACAUUAAGAUUCGUAUAAUAUUUUUUUCAGAUUUUUUCUCUUUUACAUGUAAUAUCACUUGAUUAAGACUUGGUUAAAUCUCAGUCGACUAAGACCUAGCCACAUCCUCCUAAUUAACCCGACCCUAAUUAGUCAACUAAGAUCUAGCCACGUCCUCCUAAUUAACCCGACCCUGAUCCGUACUAGGACUACCCGGCAACCUGCUUAACUAACACUGGAUAAUUUCCUAACGUUACCCAGGAAGACGGAUGCUCCAAGACUUGUUCGUGUAAGACUUCAACAUUACCUACGCCAACUAGACUCAACACUAAAUCAAGAUUAUGGCAACACCAUCUUCGACCUGAACGCUGGAGGGCGGGCAAUGUGCACGUGCAGGUCCGAUUCUCAAAAGACCGAGGCCGAUCUUUAUUAAGAUAGGGAAAAGGAGAAUUUACAUAGUGGCAAAGGCCGCCAAUAUUAGGGCAUCUUCAACUGUGACCCGUAAAUUUGUUCGGGCAUCCGUCGGUGAAUAAGAGGACCAGUCCGCAGACAUGAAUAUGGGAGCCGGUCAUACAACGCUGCUCGCAUACAUCUGAAGCCGGGUUUAAACUAGUCGGAAAAAAAUCAUGCAAACACGACGGGUUUUCAUAUAAAUCGGACGAAAUUCAUUACAUUUUGAACAUUUUUCAUUAAUAAAAUGGUCAACCCUAAAACACUUCCUUUGUAUUCAGUAUCGGCAACCACGUCCUCUGCCAUCUCCAUAAACGACGGCAGGGUUCAAGACUCGUGAAGUGGAGGUGCGGUCUUCGUUGAGGAAGAGUAAAACAUCGGAGACGGACCGGCCCACUUGGGACACAAUGCCCUGCCGCCUCCAAUGCCCUUCUCAUCCUCAGAUGAGUCCGCGACCUGUCCGUCCCCGGCGUCGGUGGACACGAGGUCGAUGAUGGACGUGGACGGUCCUUCACCGUCCAGCUGUCACGUGCGCCCCUGAAAGUUGAACGGUGGCGCGUGUUGGGAAAUGUAGUACUCCCUCUGUCCCACAAUAUAAGAACGUUUUUUACACUAGUGUAGUGUCAAAAACGUUCUUAUAUUAUGGGACGGAGGGAGUAGAAAAUAAAAAAAAUCGCCCUACGAUCACCCAGGAACAAUAUGAAGAUGCAUUAACGAUUUGGAUUCGAUAGUUACCGACUCCGAGUUGCAACAAAAAAUUACGAGUCGGUGUAGAUCGUACUUGGAGUCCCUCGAAGCGUAGAUGAACGAUCUCACGAACUGUCCACGAACAGUCCCUCGAACGAAGAACCGAAAGCAUGACCUCUCUACGAGUUGCAAGCGUACAAUCUUCACGAUCCGGCAAUGCUUCCAGAGCUAAUCGUCGUCGGAUAAUUAAAGAGAAGAGAUUAGAACCACACUAAACUUGUAAUUAUGAGGAUUAGACGAACUAGAUGAAUCUCUAAUUUAUUAAUUAGGACCGACUAGAACUAGAGAACUAGAGGAGGCUUCCAAACUUUUAUGUAUAAAAGUGCCCAAAGCCUCUAGUAUAUAUAGGUUGAAGUGGAGGAGGGGACCGCCNNNNNNNNNNNNNNNNNNNNNNNNNNNNNNNNNNNNNNNNNNNNNNNNNNNNNNNNNNNNNNNNNNNNNNNNNNNNNNNNNNNNNNNNNNNNNNNNNNNNNNNNNNNNNNNNNNNNNNNNNNNNNNNNNNNNNNNNNNNNNNNNNNNNNNNNNNNNNNNNNNNNNNNNNNNNNNNNNNNNNNNNNNNNNNNNNNNNNNNNNNNNNNNNNNNNNNNNNNNNNNNNNNNNNNNNNNNNNNNNNNNNNNNNNNNNNNNNNNNNNNNNNNNNNNNNNNNNNNNNNNNNNNNNNNNNNNNNNNNNNNNNNNNNNNNNNNNNNNNNNNNNNNNNNNNNNNNNNNNNNNNNNNNNNNNNNNNNNNNNCCCGUGCACACACACAAUGGAAAGGCGCCUCCCCUAUUAGGCCUAUGUAGUCCAAUUCUCCUUCCACCAUUUGGCCUUUUAAGACCUGUUGAUCUUAAAUUAAAUAUAAACUCCUCCUAACAAUUGUUAGAGAUUAUUAUUAUUAUUUUAACAUCACCGGAAAACAGUUUCCACAUACAUAUUAUUUAUCGGUAAUACCCGGUAUUGCCCGAUAAACUUUAAUACUCUUCCGGUGACCCUGAAAUGCUUCUGGUUCCUCUUGAAACUAUUCUGAAUAUUAAUGAAACUAUUUCACUAAUAAAUUAUCGAUACUCCUGUCCUACUAACACUCAGCAGAUCAUGAUUACCUUAACCCUGUGGCACUGUAGGUCCGGUAAAACAUAGACAUGAACGAAACUCCUUCGUUCAAUGAUCGACAUCAGAACCGUGGACGUUCGUAUCAAUCCCUAUAAUCACAAGAAUGACAUUCGAGUUAACCUUUUGUUAUUAUGUGAUUUUCCUUUGCUUCACGAUACUUUUCAAAACCUGAGGUGAGAUAUGUCGCUAUCCUCUUGAGUCAUACACAUGCUCACUAUACCGGUCUUCUCAUUGCUGGUUUUGUUCUUCUUUCUCGUUGACAUGUUCCGGCAUCCCCGUGAGUGGUCAUCUGUGUCUAGCCAGGUGAUUGAUGGAUGUCGUCACACCGAGAAAACCCUAAAAAUAUCUCUCCAUCGUCGGAGGAGAAAAAUCCACUCUUAAGCUAUCAAGUCCCAUGUCAAACUUUUCCGAUGAACCAGUAAGUUGUCGUUAUGAUCACUGUGUUACAGAUGACGUUUGAGCAACCCCAAAGCUCAUCAUACUGUAAAAAGUGACUAUGAUACUCUCACGAUCCAAGGAACUAAAACACACAUUAACACCCCGUGUUAUAACAAUUGACUUAUGACGAUAUUAUUUUUGGGUAAAAAUCAAAUUUAUGAGUAGUUAAUAUUUUUGACAAAUUUUGAGCGCUAAUUCUAAAAGGGCGCUGCUACGCGUCGGCCGGCAAAGAUCCGUCGUCUUGCGAACCGUUGGAUCUGAUGGAUUGAGCUGCCAAUGUCACGUUCUACCAUCGCAACACAGGUCAUGUUGCAAGAAUUUUCUGCAGCACAGGUCAUGUUGCAGUUUUUUUUUGCAACCGAAGUCUUGUUGCGGAAAUAUUUUUGCAACAGAGGUCUUGUUGCAUAUAUUUUCUGCAACAAAGGUGCUGUUGCGGAUUUUUUUUCCAUCUUCACUUUUUUUGCAACAUAGCUGUUGUUGCAAAAAAUUUACAAUGAAAAUCAUGAUUCAAAACGCCACUAUCACCGCCGUUCGUCGUUGUCGUUUGCAAUUCCAUCCUUGCAAUUACAACAUGGGACGAUCAGUGAUGAGCCGAGCCGACGGCCUGCGACGACCGACGACUGUGAUGGAGGCAGCCCACGACUUCCAUUUGUAGUUUUUUUUUUUUUUUUGCGGGGGACUUCCAUUUGUAGUUGGAAGCACAACUUCCCCCGUGACAAGCCGGGGAGUGCCCUCGCAGCUGCAGCCUCACCACCAGAUUUGUGGUGAGCCAUGGUGGCGGAGCUGCAGGACCUGAACGGAGGUAGCCUUGUGGUGCGGCCACGACGCUUGCAGGUGGGCAAGAGAACGGCCGGAAUAAAGAACAAGUCGUUGAGGUUGGAUAAGGCAGAUGAAAAUUUGAGAGGGGCUAGGGGUACCACGUCACGUGGACACGCGUCACACCGGCAAAGCGGCGGAUAGGAGUCUAGAAAUCAGUGGGGUGAUUUCAACCAUUUCCCAUUCUAAAAACCCGAAAUAUUUUUAACCUGAAUCACCCGACCAAAAUUUCCGGGUAAACCCGAAGGCCCGAGGCUGAGCUCUAACAUCAAACCGGGCCGGGCCAACUACACGGCGGAUCCCGCUGCUUCCAUUCCAAGGCGAGAGAGCUCUUCUCCCGAACCGCCUCUCGAUUCGUUACUAGAUUGCGUCAGAUGCGUGCAUUGCAUGCGUGGUUCAUGGUCUUAGGCUUCGUUGUCAAAAUUCCAUCUCCGUCCACGCCGUUCGAAGAACUACUUGAAAUCCUCUAGUAGCAGUAGGAGUAGUAGUAGUUUGUGUAAUUUACUUCAGUUAUGAUAGAGACCAGUGCUAUCUACAACGAUUAGGCCCAAAAGUAGCUGGUGGCAGGAGAUUUUUUCAGUGUACAUUGCUGGUGGCAGUUGCUCCUGUUGUUUAAAAGUUCUGAUGAUGCACUGUGGUUCAGUUUAGUUUGUUAGUCUAUUCGAUAUGCUGUGCUCUGUAACGGCCUUGCAGCAGGGCUUCACCUUUGAAACUCUGUUAUCAGGGGUAAUGCUUCUUGAUAUUGACUGGUCUAUGAGUGCUGAUAUCCUUGCAUUUUAUCUGUAGGAGGAGCUUUGAAGGUUUGCCAGGUCAGAAAAGAUGGUUCUCAAGUAUGUUACUGUCUUUGAUGUCGUGCCGAAAUGCUAAAGAUUUGUAAAAUUGCUUCUUCCAAUCUUACUUACUCCUGCAUUUGUGUUCAUACAGGACAGAGCUCUGCCGUUUCAGCGAUGCAAAGAUAUACCCAGGGAAGGGUAUCAGAUUCAUCCGUUCAGACUGAGGUAAGCCCUUGUGUCUCCUUUCGUUAUUUUGCAUGAAAUGAAAAUAACUGGAAAUUCUCUAACAUUCUGCUGCACCUUCUUUGUGUGUGCCCGAAAUCAGGUAUUCCUUUUCUCGAACUCCAAGUGCAAGCGCUACUUCCACAACCAUCUCAAGCCCGCUAAUCUCACAUGGACGGCCAGGUUCAGGAAGCAGCACAAGAAGGUACAUGCAAAUAAGCCAAUUCCUGUAAUGAUAUACUCCACAUCCUAGUUCAGGAAAUGUUUCAUAAUGUUACUAGUAUGCCGUAUUAGAGGUAUCUGCUUAGGCAGUGUAAGAGGUGCAUUCAUCUGGUUACUAAUUGACUUGCUUAAAUAUUUCACCUGAUGAAUAAUUUCAUUUGUGAGUAGCUAGCGAAAGUCAAAGAAGGUGACAUAUCUAGUAAGUCUCAGGGACUAGAAUGUACCAGUUUACCACAAUAUCAGAUAGUCUGUUGACAACAUAAAUGAUAUGUAUUGCUUAAUCACGUGUAAUUUCCAUUCCUUUGCUUUGCACAAACGGGCGUAUUGUUUCUUAGCUUAGCUCUCUGUUUUAUUGUGUUUUCACCAAUGAUGCUCCAUCACUCGCUGUCCUUGUUUCUAUAAGCAACUACACACUUUAGAGCAUCUCCAAUAGACGGUCCAAAUGUAAAAAUACCUAACUUUUGGACCGUCUGGAGCAAAAAACCCUGCUUCAACAGACGGUCCAUAUGUAAAAAAAUGGACCGCGGCCUCCUCGUGAUAUAAAAUACAACACCUCACAGUGCAAAUUUACAUCACGAGGUGCAUCUGGUCCAAAACCAGACGCCGCCCGCGAACGCCCAACCGCCAGUUCCUUUCCUUUCCCGCCCGCCCGCCCGGCCGCCGCCGCCAUGGCCGAAGGCGACGACCCCGCCGCUUUCUCCGCCGCCGCCGCAGCCGGUGGGCUGACCCACGUGGCCGCCGCCGCCNNNNNNNNNNNNNNNNNNNNNNNNNNNNNNNNNNNNNNNNNNNNNNNNNNNNNNNNNNNNNNNNNNNNNNNNNNNNNNNNNNNNNNNNNNNNNNNNNNNNNNNNNNNNNNNNNNNNNNNNNNNNNNNNNNNNNNNNNNNNNNNNNNNNNNNNNNNNNNNNNNNNNNNNNNNNNNNNNNNNNNNNNNNNNNNNNNNNNNNNNNNNNNNNNNNNNNNNNNNNNNNNNNNNNNNNNNNNNNNNNNNNNNNNNNNNNNNNNNNNNNNNNNNNNNNNNNNNNNNNNNNNNNNNNNNNNNNNNNNNNNNNNNNNNNNNNNNNNNNNNNNNNNNNNNNNNNNNNCGGCCCGGAUUCGCGCCGCCCCGGCCGGUGGCCACCGCGACGGCGGCGAAGGGACGAGGCGGCGGAAAACGGCCGGCCAACCGCAGCCACAACCCGACCGACAGUUCUACGCGGCCGGUGAAGGUCUCCAAGGCGGCCGCGGCGGCUCGGGGCGACAACUCGCAGCCGGUGCGGCCGGCGGCCUCCUCCAGCAACCACACAUCCAUUCCUCAACCUCCCCCGCCAGCCGUGGAGGAAGAUGUGGCCACGCCGAUGGCCACUGCCUCCAACAUGUUCGAGGAAAUGUCGCAAGCUCUCGUUUGUUGUUUCAAAUUGUAUGUGUUCUUGAUUGUUUGUGCGUCCAAUUGUAGUCUUGAUGAUGAAGCUUUCAUGCACGCGACAAAUGUGGCAAAUGAUGAUUACAUAUAUGCGUCACAAGAAUAUGAAACCCAAUAUGAUGAUGACAAUCUUGAUGUGGACGAUGAGGGCUUUGUUGUCAAGGGAAGAAGUGGAAAUUAUACCACCGCGGAGGAUGUGUUGAUAUGCACCGCUUGGAAGAAAAUCUCUCAAGAUGCAAGCGUUGGAAGCGACCAAACGGUGAACACCUAUUGGCAACGCAUCAAGGAGUACUUCGAUGAGCGCAACACAAGUGGUCACUUCCGUUCGAGCGACUCUCUACACCAACGUUGGUCCACCAUCAACGCCGAAUGCCAAAACUGGGCCGGUUGCUUGUCAAACGUUGCUCGCAUGAACCCAAGUGGUUGCGGUGAUAGUGACUUGGUAAAUAUUCCCUCUUCGUGCGUGCUUUGUCAAAUAUUUCCUCUUUGUUCCACAUGUUGAUGAUGAUGUGUUACUUGUUUUAUUGUAGAAAAUGAUUGCACAAGGAUUGUUUCGAGAGAGGAACAUGAAAGGCGAGAAGAAGAAAAGGAAAGGAAAACCUUUCACUUUUCAUCAUUGCUACAAAGAGCUCAAGGAUGAGGAGAAGUGGAAAACUAGAGAGACUUUUGAAUCGCCGAAGAAGAAGAGUGCGGUGCUUGAGGAUGAAGAAGAUGUUGCCAUUGAGGAGACGAGCCCCACUCCUCACUCCGUGACAAAAUCUUAUAGGCCCGAUGGAAACAAGAAAGCGAAGGGAACCAAGGCCGGAGACAAUGAUCUCAAGGAAGGAUUUGAUGGCGAGGAAAGAGAAUGCCGAAGAAAAAGAAUCUUGAAGCUCAAGGAAAUAGAGGAGAGGAGUGAGGCCGAGCGGCGAAGGGCGGCGGCCGAGGAGAAGAGGGCGGCGACCGAGGAGAGGUUGGCCGCGGCCGAGGAGAGGAAGGUGGACCUAGAGGAGAAGAAGGCCGCGGCCGACGAGAUGAAGGUGGUUGAGGAGAGGACUGUUGGGGAACGUAGCAAUAAUUCAAAAUUUUCCUACGUAUCACCAAGAUCAAUCUAGGAGAUGCUAGCAACGAGAGAGAGGGAGUGCAUCUUCAUACCCUUGAAGAUCGCUAAGCGGAAGCGUUACAAGAAUGCGGUUGAUGGAGUCGUACUCGCGGCGAUUCAAAUCGCGGAAGAUCCGAUCUAGCGCCGAACGGACGGCGCCUCCGCGUUCAACACACGUACAGCCCGGGGACGUCUCCUUCUUCUUGAUCCAGCAAGGGGAGAGGAGAAGUUGAGGGAGAACUUCAGCAGCACGACGGCGUGGUGGCAAUGGAGCUCGUGGUUCUCCGGCAGAGCUUCUCUAAGCACUACGUAGGAGGAGGAGGAGUUGGAGGAGGAGAGGGCUGCGCCAGGGAAGAGGUACGGCUGCCCUCCCACCCCUCCACUAUAUAUAGGGGCAAGGGGAGAGGGGAAGGCGCCCUAGGGUUUCCCCUAGGGGGCGGCGGCCAAGCAGAUUGGAUCUCCCUAGGGAAAAUCCUAGGGAGACUUGCCCCCCAAGCCAAGCAGGUGGAGGCUUUCCUCCCAAGUCAGGUGGAGGCGCCCCACCUCCCCAAGUAACGUGGGAAAGGGUGUGGGGGGCGCACCACCCCUUAGUGGGCUGGUUUGCCCCUUCCCCUUUGGCCCAUGAGGCCCUCCAACACUUGCCGGGGCUCCCGAAACACCUUUCGGUCAUGCUGGCCAUAGCCUGGUACCCCCGGAACACUUCCGGACUCCAAUACCCUUCGUCCAAUAUAUCGAUCUUCACCGCCGGACCAUUCCGGAACUCCUCGUGACGUCCGGGAACACAUCCGGGACUCCGAACUACCUUCGGUAACCACAUACUAUUUCCCAUAACAACUCUAGUGUCACCGAACCUUAAGUGUGUAGACCCUACGGGUUCGGGAACCAUGCAGACAUGACCAAGACACCUCUCCGGCCAAUAACCAAUAGCGGGAUCUGGAUACCCAUAUUGGCUCCCACAUGUUCCACGAUGAUCUCAUCGGAUGAACCACGAUGUCGGGGAUUCAAUCAAUCCCGUAUACAAUUCCCUUUGUCUAUCGGUAUGUUACUCGCCCGAAAUUCGAUCGUCGGUAUCCCAAUACCUCGUUCAAUCUCGUUACCGGCAAGUCACUUUACUCGUCCUGUAACGCAUGAUCCCGUGGCUAACUCAUUAGUCACACUGAGCUCAUUAUGAUGAUGCAUUACCGAGUGGGCCCAGAGAUACCUCUCCGUCAUACGGAGUGACAAAUCCCAGUCUUGAUUCGUGCCAACCCAACAGACACUUUCGGAGAUACUUGUAAUGCACCUUUAUAGCCACCCAGUUACGUUGUGACGUUUGGUACACCCAAAGUAUUCCUACAGUAUCCGGGAGUUGCACAAUCUCAUGGUCUAAGGAAAUGAUACUUGACAUUAGAAAAGCUCUAGCAAACGAACUACACGAUCUUGUGCUAUGCUUAGGAUUGGGUCUUGUCCAUCACAUCAUUCUCCUAAUGAUGUGAUCACGUUAUCAAUGACAUCCAAUGUCCAUGGUCAGGAAACCAUAACCAUCUAUUGAUCAACGAGCUAGUCAACUAGAGGCUUACUAGGGACAUGUUGUGGUCUAUGUAUUCACACAUGUAUUACGAUUUCUAGUUAAUACAAUUAUAGAAUGAACAAUAGACAAUUAUCAUGAACAAGGAAAUACAAUAAUAACCAUUUUAUUAUUACCUCUAGGGCAUAUUUUCAACAAGGACACUCAAGUUUAUGUUUAUGGACACAUCAACUCUUGAUGCCAAGGCAAAGGCAUAUGUUGAACUUUGUCGCGAUGAAAUGUGAAGAAGCAAAUGCUCAUGAGGCAAAUGAUGAUGGGAGGAGGCAUGGGAGGUGCCAUGGGAGGAGGCAUAGGAGGUGCCAUGGGUGGUUACAUGAACAUGAUUGGGGGUUCCAUGAAUGGUGCAUUUGGCGGAAAUAUGGGAGGUGGCUUCGGUGGCAACAUGGAAGGUGGCUUUGGCGGCAUGGGAGGUGGCUUUGGCGACAACAUGAUGGGUGGCUUGGGACGUGGCUAUGGCGGCAACAUGAGUGGCGUUGGAGUUGGCUUCGUCGGCAACAUGACCGGUAUGGGACGCAAUGAAGAUGCUUCCGGUGGUGCUCACGGCAACGAGAGUUCACCGCUUGUUGAGAACGUCGACAAAGACGGUGGUGAAGAUGAUGAUCAUACCACGGUUCACAACGCCGGUGGUGUUGAUGACCCGCAUGAGUAAUAUUUAUGUGCAUUUCAAUUUCUAGGGCGAAAAACUUUGAUUGAGACGACGGUCUUUUGGUAGAGGGAUUUGAUACUAUGAUGGUGAUGCACUUUUGAUUGAAACUAUGAUGAUGAUGCACUUUAUUUUCAAAAAAAAUUAUGCUAUUUCAAUGCAAAACCGCGGCUGAACAGUGGCUGGCAGCAGCCGCACGGCCGUUUUCAGAUUUUUACAUCUUUGGUUUGGACCAUCUAUUGGAGUUGCUCUUUUGGACCAUCAAUUUGGACCAUUUGUUGGAGUUGAGCGUUUCUCGGAGCUCCAAAAUGCACCUUUUGACGGUCCAAAUUUUAUAUCUUCGGUUUUGGACCGCCAAAAUUUGAACCAUCUAUUGGAGAUGCUCUUAUGUUUGUGCAUAUGAAAUUCUGAAGUUGUGCUUAUAAAUUUUUUGUGGUGUAUGGUUGCAGGAUAUCCAUGCCGAGGCUGCAAAGAAGAGGCGGCUCACAACCAAAAGGCCGUAUUCCAGGUCCUUUGUCGGUGCUUCCCUUGAUGUUAUCUAGAAGAAGAGAGCCGAGAAGCCUGAGGUUCGUGAUGCAGCCAGGAAAGCAGCUCUCCGGUAGCACUUCCUUCUCCCUGGCUUCCGACUCCUGCUUCUAGAUAUUGUGAUGUGCUAUACCAUGAAAACUAGCAUGAACCAACAUGUUCUUCUUAUGUUGCAUGUCAAACUAGGAUUGUUAUACCUGUCAACUGAGCAUCAUCCGUGUAAUAUCCACUAUGUGUUUUUGUUCCUGUUUAAUCAAUGCACAAACAUGAGCGCAGUCUUGGCACCUUGAUUUUCUAUAUGAUGUGUAUCUGUGAGUUAUUUAUAGUGGUAACUGUUGUACAAGAGUGAGAUCAAAGAGCGCAUCAAGAAGACCAAGGACGAGAAGAGAGCUAAGAAGGUGGAGGUGACGAAGUCCUAGAGAAGACCGUUGGAAGAGGCAACGCCCCCAAACCCGGGAAGGCCUCCAAGCUUUGCGGCGGCGGGGGGAAGCGCUAGGCAGCAACACCCAGUUAUGUGAUCAACGUCAAAUUCUGAACCUAGUAGUUAUGUGAUGGCUUACCCAGUAUCUUCAGGAAUGUUUUGCGGGGAUCAAAGUUCAUGCUUGUCAGAGGUGUUAUUCUGUACUUGCUGUUUGCUACUUCUUCUACCUAUCAAUGCAAUGAUGCGGUGCGUAUCCGUGAAAAAAAGUAGAGGUUGUUUCUUCUGUUUAUUAUACAGUAUAUCUGAUCAAUGUGAAGAUUGUGAGUGUGUGUUUAUCCAAUUGGUGUUUCUUUCGCACCACGCUGUUGAUUAUUUGUCCGAAACCUAUCGAAGCCGGUCUUCGUAGUUCGUAGACCCUUUCUCAUGACACGCCUGUCAUUAUCCACGAAGUUUCCACUUAAUAACUCGAUGUUAAUCGAUGCGGCGCACGGCCGAAAUAUCGUCGGAGCGCGACCUUGUGAGGUGAUGCUGCUUUUGGCUGGGUCAGGCCGCCACGGAAGCAGUUGAUUCAACGGCCGUGGUCGCCAAGCACUUACUCCGUUACUCGUACAGUAGGAGUAGUAGAUUAGUCCUGGUAGGUGUUGAGAUUAAUUCAGCGGGCUGGUCGGUGCCUGGUUCAGCGCACCUUGAUCCCGGAGAAAACUAAGGUUCAGUGAACCUCGUACCAACACCAACCCCAGGGAGCACGUGCUUUGCCUUUCACAAUUUGUUUAGCGUGAUUGUCUUGAUAAGACCGAAGGGGUGGCUUAAAGAAAGGAUCGUUGUCUCAGACGGACAGGAUCAUAUCCGAUCGUACGGCUAGUCGGCGCCGACAUGUCACUUAAGCGACAGAAAAGCACGUGGUAGGUGAAGCUCGCCGCAUGCUUUCUUCGGAGAUUGUUUGCGCAAAUCACGUGUGAUAUUCUGUUCAUCUGACUAAAGAUUGUUGUCUAGUUUGCAUCUACUAACUCAGGAUCUACAACCGGACCUCUCAAAUCCGAUCCGCCUCAUACGUCCGGAUGGACCGUCCGUUUACUGCCUGAUCAUUAUUUUUUGACCCAGACAUGUCCCUUAAACGCUCAGGCUGACUGGCACCCAUAUGUCCAGCCCAAAUAUGGGGUGGAUAAGGGGUGCCUGGGCGCAUCCGGACACGCCUGCCGCGUCAGACCCGACAGCCUGACCCCAUUCCAAAUUGCAUCAAAUCCACCAAACUCUUCCUCCUCCUCCAGCCGCCAGCCAACCAUUCCCGUGUUCGGACCCUCCCCGUCCUUCACCCUUGCUCCCAAUCCUCACCUCAGGUCCCGAUACAUCGCCGAAGAUGUCCUCCAGCCCGACCCACACCGCUGCGACAGAGACGCAGUCCGCCUCGUCCGUCGGCGGCAUGAUUUCGUCGGCGAAGAACGUCACCCACAAGUUGCGGUGAUGCCGACAGCGAAAGAGGGAGGCGGCGGCGUCGCAGCGGGGUUCGGACAUGGUGGAGCAGUUGUCUCCUCCGCCUCGCCCGGAUGCAAGCAGAGCAGGACGAGCAUGACGCAUUCCGCUCGGAGCAGGCGCCCAGCCAGCGAUCCGAGGCCAUCUGUCACGCUCGGACAUUGAUUUCAUUUUGCCAUGUCCGGUUUGGUGAACUAUGAUUUGUUUUUGCUUUGUUUCAAACUUUGGCAUUCAGAUAGUUUGUACCGUAUGAUCGACAUGCAUUGAUUGGAUGAAUUUGAGGAUCGAAAUUUACGGUAUGUGGAUGUAUGUGGAUGUGCGGCGCAACAUUUGAGGGGUGUCCAGUCAUUGCCCGCGGAUGCAUCCGGGCGUGUCCGUGGGCGUUUAAGGGCCUGAUGUGCCAAGUCCGUUGUAGAUGCUCUAAACGUUCUUAUAUUUCUUUGCAAAGAGAGUAAUAAUCAAAUUUAAAAAAAAGGAGUUUUGUUCUGUUCAUCUAACUAAAGAUUUCUGUCUAGUUUGCAUCUAACAAUCCAAUUAAAAGGGAGUUUUGUUCAGAUUUUGGGAUGAAAAUCUGCAUUGCCGUAGCUUUGAGAUGGCUCCCCGCUGUAUGUGUAAGGGCGGUUUGAGCAGGCUAGAAAUCUUGAGCUCGGUCAGCAACUUGCAAAAGCUAUCCGUUGGACUUGAGAUCGAGGUUGAUCCUCCUCCAAUGAAUCGAAGUCACUCCUGUGUCAGCUUCGUUUGUGUCCCUCAGCGCCUGGCGUGGCAUGCCAAUGAGUGUUGAUGGGCACACGACCUCGCUUCACUCCCCUCUACCAGGCAGGGAUGGGAUCGACCUCCAGCCUCGUGUAUGCAGUAGGUCGCAGACAAAGUUCCAGCGGAAAGGCGUUCACACCAUCUCGGGCGUCCGUGCAGGUGCAGGUGCAGUGCACCCCGGCCCAUGCGAGCAAGUGGAUCAUUGCGCUCUACUAGAAGAAAAAAAAAAUGCAUGGUACAUCUGUUAGCUCAGCAUCGGGCCGUGCCUGCCGCAGCCACGUACGCCGAGGCCGUCGACCCGAUCGACCACCCACGCCUUUCCGAUAUGUCCCCGACGUGUCUCCGUGCGUGUCGCUCGCGGUCGACACCCACCGAGAGCGACGGCACGUCGCACGUCCGACCCACCCACUUGACCCCGGCUUCCCUCCCCAGAAAUGUGGACCACGUCGCGGCCCGGACGCCGAUGCACCUGGACACCCCACGCCGAGCAGCACGCACAGGACUGGAGAUCGACCGAUCGUGUCGACGCGCGCCCAGCGCCACGCGACGGCCCGCGACUCGGUGGUCACCGUCGCACGCUGCGCGACAAGGAAGGCCGGGCGGGGGAAAGCGCGCUGCGCUUUUCGGCGUGGCAUGUGUCCGGCCAGGGCCAGCCGCCUGGUGCGGGUGUGGGCCGACUCGGCCGCGAACGAUCCGGUGGACCGGUUGGUCGCCGCGUGUGCGGCUGCGUGACCGCAACAAUACGGGGGAAAAGCGCAGGACUGUGUCGCGACUUGCGAGGGGAUAAUCUAGCGCUGCUGCGGUGUGGUGUGGUGCACCCGCGGGCGAAUCUUGCCGACGAGUGCCGAGCCUGCAUCGCGGUGGCAGCGACCCGCGAUGAUUCGAUCAGCCGUUUCCGGCGCUCCUACUAUCUCCGUCCUGGUUUAUUAUCUCCCUUUAUAAUUUGUGCUAAGUUUUAAUCAAAGAUUUAACUGAUAAAAUGUUAGUGCAUGUCAAUAAAAUUAUAUGUUGGAUUCGUAUUUUUAACAUAGUUUUAAUGAUAUACUUUUUAGUGACAUGCAUGAACAUUUUGUAAGUUAAAUUUACUAUCAAAAUUUGGCACAGAUUACAAUGGAGGCCAAUAAAACAGGACGGAGGUAGUACUCCCUCCGUCCGGAAAUACUUGUCGAAGAAAUGCAUAAAAAUGGAUGUAUCUAGAACUAAAAUACGUCUAGAUACAUUCAUUCCUCCGACGAGUAUUUCCGGACGGAGGGAGUAUGUGCUAUUGUUGCGAGGUCGCGUCCGGAAGUGACGGGAGAGAAAGGGCUCUCGGUUGACGGGUAGAUCUUAUGGCAAUUCCAAAGCGCCGACACAUUUCGCGUGGACAUGUAGCGCUGCGUCCUUCCUUGGUGUGAUGUAGCGAACGCCCGCGGCGUCCUUCCUUGGUGUGAUCGUCUGUGGCACAUCAUCUCCAUUCCCAUCAUUUCUCUCCCGCCCUCCCGCCAUGGCCGUCCACCUCGUGGGCCCGAAGAAGCUGAUGAAGGAGAUCACCCAGGAGGAGAGUGCGGCCGGGACGACGAAGCAAGCCAACCGAAGGAAGAGGGGCAAGGAAAAAAGGAGACACCACAUACACUCACGCCAUCACCGUCAAGGCCGCGCAAACUGCCCUCCUCCUACUAGAGUUUCGUGAUCCGACCUGCUCGCCGCCGCCACGUCGGCACGCCGGCCCAAGCUACCGGAGUCGUCGCGCAUGUCAACAACGUUGCCGAUGUACGGGUAAUUUCCCGGACACGACCCGACAACGUCCCACUAUUCCAUGUAACCUCGGGAAGGAUCACCGGAAAUGGGUGACUCCAUGUCGAUCAUCUUGUGGUGCCUUCCAUUGAUCUCAAUGCCACACCUAUGGCUGGCUAGUCCACCGGGACGCAAAGUAAGUGCCUGCCGGCGGUCUACCCGACAACUUUCUCGAUGCCCGCAACCUAUUUGAUGUAAGCCGCGUAUUGAGGACUGUGAGCUUAACAAUGAGAGGCCAUGUUCAAUUGUUGUUGAAGCAGACGAUGUUAGGGCAUCUCCAACGGCAACCCGCAAAAAACCUCCCACAUUCGUCCACAUACAGGGGGGCCAGUCCGCGGACACGGAUACGGGAGGCAGCCAUCCGACGCUAGCCGCAUACAUUUUCACAACAACUCAAACCAACCGGACAAAAUUCAUGCAAACACGUGCGGAUUUCAUGUGAACUCGACCGGAUUUCAUACAAACAUGACAGAUUUCAUAUAAACAUGACGAGUUUCAGUACAUUUACAUCAACGGUGCUACUCCGGCUCUGAAGGUAUAGUUAAUACCUAAUCUAAAUUGCCGCCCGCGGACUCCUUUGUCUUCCUCAUGUCCAGCAGCCCAAUCACUGGAUUGUCGGGACCCACGAAGCCGAAGGUAUAAGCUUCAGCGCAAAGGACAGCUCGCUUCCCCGCCACUCAUCGAAGUGUAACCCCGGUUGAUGCUUCAGCGGGAGGGGCAGGCGGUGCCUCCGCUUCUGUGAAGCCCAUGUGGGAUCGACAAAGGUCCUCGAAAGAGAAGAACCGGGCAAGACACCGACUGUGUACGCCGGUGUCGCCUAGGCGGUGGCCUUCGUGGGACCCAAGUGGCGGCUGACUCCAUUGUUCUACUUCUCCUCGAUGAUGGCGGCGGACGCGGAUGCACCGGCCACUGAGUCGUCGCUCUCCGCGCACUCGGCUUCUGCCUCUACCUGCAUGGUGUGGUCGUAGGCCCGAGAGGCGCGGUUGCAGGCACAAAAGGCGCGGUCACAGAAGCGGGAGGCGCGGUGGUCGACGGCAGCGAUGACGCCCGUGCCGUUGUGCUCCCCGUCGUGUCGAUGUCGAGCAACUGACCACUCCUCAUCGGGUGGUCCUGGAGUGGGGAGUUGCUGAACCACGCGACGGCUUGGGGCGGCAACUUGCUCCGUCGGGUGAAGCUCGGGAGGUGGAGCAGCGAGCUGCCUCGCUCGUAUCCGGCCGACUCGGCGGGCUACCUAGCAGGCUUGUAUGCUAGAGAACUGCUCUUCGUAAGCCAUCAGAAGAGUGGGGGAGGAGGACAUUGGGGGAGCGGCGGAGGGGUGUGGUUCUUUCCCGGUGUCUGCCGUCGUUUAAAUAUGGAACUUGCCAUUGUGUUACUUUUUAUGCCACUAUUUAAUCAUACACCAACUGUCUUUGUCCUUGGUUGAAAACGUACCACCACCCCCUCUCCCUCCACCCUAGUGUCAUCGUUGAAUGAUGCCACCGACCUAAGCUUGUACACUAAACUAGCGGCAAAGGGGUUCCUUGCAACAAUUUCCUCGAAGGUUCGGGGUAUGGUCUCCCUCAUUGAACAGCACCUUCGGUGGCCGAGAGCAGGCAUUGCCCUCGGGCACCGGUGAGGACGCAUUUGCACACGACAUGGCUCUCGUGCGGCCUUUUGUUACAAUUACAACUAUGUGGAUAUUGCAACAGACCUGGCCAGACUCCAGUGAGGUGGAAUAUGGGCAUGCAGGGAUAGACAGACCAACUAGCCAUGUGAUUGGGAAAUGUGAGGUUGGCGAUGAAAGCCAUGGUAAACUUUGAUUGGAGCAGAUGAUGCCGUAUCUAGGUGGCAUUACUUUGUUGUAGGCGUCAAAGGGUAUAGUUCUUGUCUUCCGGGAUGCUCGGGAGAAACCAUAGAUUUUGGUCUUCCGAGGUCAAUCGAUUAAUUGGGCAUUCUUGUGUCUCUGAUUAUCCCACGAUUCUCCGGUUUUAUUAUGCGGAUCAGAGGCAAUUAUAAUCAUUCCGUUGAUCAAUGUUUAAUCUUUUCAGAAUAACAAUUCUAAAGAAAAUAACCACUAGAGUUUCAUCUUCAUACUUAUUCUGUCUCAAAAUGUAGACGUUCUUUGAUACUAUCAUAACGUUAAAAAAUGUCUUAUACAUUUUAAAUGCAUAUUUGACAAAAAAACUACCACAUUUCACGUCAUCGUCCCACAGUACUAUCGCAUUUUGAAAAGUGACCGAAAACUCCAGAUUAGUACUAAUUUUGUGACAAAAAAACUACCAACUUGAGUUGAUGACCGUUUUUAUGAUUUUAAACCUGUUUAUGACAUGCGGGACCCGCGUGUCAAAGCUGACAUGGCGAGAAAGUCAACUCCUUUAUUUUUUACCAUCAAGUUGACUGAUGGGGCCCACACAUCAACAUCAACUUCUUCCUCCUCCUCCUCCUCUCUCUCUAUGUGGCAUUUUAACAAACACUUCAUGUGCACACAUGGGGAUGAGCAGCAGUGCAUGGCCACCGGCCGCAGCCGCGGCCACAGGCGACGAGCAGCAUUAGAGGCCAGUACGACCAUGCGCAGCAGCUCGCCCUGCCGCCCCCACACCUGCUGCUCGCCGGCGGCCCUUGCUGCCACGAGAAGCCGAGAAUGGUGUCGUGCCCGCCUCCUGGUCAACAACGGUGGUUCACGACCUCGCGCUCGCCAUCGGAGGACGAGGCGUUCGUGCGGGUCGUCGCGCUCUACGUCGACGACGGCGACGCCAUGCACCCUGGCUUCCUCGAGUCGGUAGACCCAGGAGGCGGCCUCGAGCGUGCAGGCGGCCGAGUUCCACCAGGGCUACCGGAAGGGCGCGGAGGCCCUGUACCAGUAGGCCUUGUAGGCGGCGUCGGCUAGGGAGCAGGGCAGGAGGAAGCAGGCGAGGACGCGGAAGGAGUGGUUGAGCUGCGCGGUGUAGCCGGCGCGCACCUCAUCCGAGUCGUGUCGGAGACGGUCGAUGCAGAGCACGGGGCGGAGGCCGACCAGGAGCAGUGAGCAGAGGGAGAGGAAGGCGAGCGUGGCGGUUGUUGGGAAUCGUUGCAUGGAAAAUAAAAAAAUUCAACGCACACGCAAUGAUCUAUCCAUGGAGAUGCAUAGCAACGAAGGGAAAAGUAUGUCUACGUACACUCGUAGACCGUAAGCGGAAGCGUUUAAUAACGCGGUUGAUGUAGUCAAACUUUCUUCGUGCUCCAACCGAUCUAGUAUCAAACGCACGCCACCUCCGCGUUCUGCACACGUUCGACUCGGGGAUGUCCUACGCCUUCUUGAUCCAGCAAGACGGCGAGGUAGUAGCUGAGUUCCGACAGCACGAAGGCGUGGUGACGGUGAUGGUGAUGUGAUCUCUGCAGGGAUUCACCUAAGCACUACGAAAAUAUGAUCGAGGGAGUAAACGGUGGACGGGGGCGCCGCACAUGGCUAAGACAAUCUUGUGUCCUUGUGUGGCGCCCCCACCCCACAUAUAUAUAUAGGUGGAAGGGGGGAGGAGGCAGCCUAGGGCUGGCUGCCGGCCCAAGGGCUCCUGCGCCCCCUUUCCUUGUAUGAAUAAGGGGGAAGGAAAGAGGGGGGGGAGGAAGCGGGAGUCCUACUCCACACUUUCCUUUCCCACCCCUCUUUCCUUCUCCUCCUCAUAGGGCCGACCUCUAUAGGGGUGCACCAGCCCCUUGUGGGCUGGUGUGUUUCCUCUGUUGGCCCAUAAGGCCCAGAUCUUUGCCGGGGGUGUCCGAAACUCCUUUCCGGUGACCCGAUAAGUACUCGGUACCCUCCGAAACACUAUCGGUGUACGAAUACCAUCAUCCUAUAUAUCAAUAUUUACCUCUCGACCAUUUCGAGACUCCUCGUCAUGUCCGUGAUCUCAUCCAGGACUCCGAACAAAUUUCGGUCACCAAAUCACAUAACUCAUAUAAUAUUAUAUCGUCAACAAACGUUAAGCGUAGGGACCCUACGGGUUCGAGAACUAUGUAGACAUGACCGAAACACCUCUCCGGUAAAUAACCAAUAGCGGAACCUGGAUGCCCAUAUUGGCUCCUACAUAUUCUACGAAGAUCUUUAUCGGUCGAACCGUUACGACAACAUAUGGAAUUCCCUUUGUCCAUCGGUAUGUUACUUGCCCGAGAUUCAAACAUCGGUAUCUCUAUACCUAGUUCAAUCUCGUUACCGGCAAGUCUCUUUACUCGUUCCGUAAUACAUCACCUCGUGACCAACUCCUUAGUCAUUUGCUUGCAAGCUUAUGAUGUGUAUUAACGAGAGGGCCCAGAGAUACCUCUCUGAUAUUCGGAGUGACAAAUCCUAAUCUCGAUCUAUGCCAACUCAAUAAACACCUUUGGAGAUACCUGCAGAGCAUCUUUAUGAUCACACAGUUAUGUUGUGACAUUUGAUAGCACACAAGGUAUUCCUCCGGUAUCCGGGAGUUGCAUAAUCUCAUAGUCGAAGGAAUAUGUAUUUGACAUGAAGAAAGCAAUAGCAAUAAAACUGAACCAUCAUUAUGCUAAGCUAACGGAUGGGUCUUGUCCAUCACAUCAUUCUCCUAAUGAUGUGAUCCCGUUAUCAAAUGACAACUCAUGUCCAUGGUCAGGAAACCUUAACCAUAUUUGAUCAAUGAGCUAGUCUAGUAGAGGCUUACAAGGGACACAGUGUUUGUUUAUGUAUUCACACAUGUAUUUAAGUUUUCGAUCAAUACAAUUAUAGCAUGAAUAAUAAACCUUAUCAUGAAUAAGGAAAUAUAAAAUAACAACUUUAUCAUUUCCUCUACGGCAUAUUUCCUUCAGCGGCCAGGGUGAGGGACACCUACACCUGCCCGUCCAGGGGCCGCGGUGGCGCGGAGGCCGGGAGGGUGAGGGUGAUAUGAGGUGGCGACGACGAGCUCCUCUCAUCGGAUGAUGCACAUGAGGUAUUUGUUAAAAUGCCAAAGAGGGAGGGAGAGAGGAGGAAGAAGAAUGAUGUGUGGGCCCCACCUGUACUAAUGGUCAACGUAGCUGUCAAAAUAAACGGAAUUGACUUUCCCGCCACGUCAGCUCUGACACGCGGGUCCCGCAUGUCAUAAAAGGUUUAAAAUCAUAAAAUGGUCAUGAACUCAACUUGGUAGUUUUUUGUCACAAAAUUAAUACUAAUCUGGAGUUUACGGUCAUUUUUCAAAAUGUAGUAGUUAUGUGGGACGAUGACGUGAAAUGUGGUAGUUUUUUUGUCAAAUACUAGAGGGAGCACACUUGAAUGGCGGAUAAGAGGGACAUGAACAUGAUAGAUGCUCCAUUUCACUGACAACGCAUAAAGUCUAUCACUUCAGUUCAAGCUUAUCUGGACAAUCGAUCAAUAGUGCUUUCUUUUGUUGACUGUGGUUGUGAUGAGCGCACCGCGCACGCACGCUAUGUCGUGGAGGGCAGAUCAGGUGAUCACACUCCAGAUUCCGCGUAUAGCACCAAACACGCUUAGCCACGCCUAGGGCAUCAUUUGGUCAGGGCUGAACACAGGAGCAAUCCUCCUGCUCAUAUACCGGAGGCUGGAGACUUCUUUCGCCUCUCUAAAAAACUAUUUUAGUCAAAUAACUUGGUUCCCACGUAACUGGAUGUUAAUCCCGCUGCGGCGCUCGGAGGCCGCCAUGCCGUCGUAAGAACGCGACCUGCCGAUCUGACAUUUCUCUGAGAAAUGCGUCGUCUGAACCGGUCGUGGCCGUCGAUCGGGUCCUCUUUGUGCCGGUAGGUAUGUAGAAUUGCUGCGGCUGCAGCUUUUGACGGCGGCUCUCGGUGGUUGCUUUGCUAGGUUCAGUGUACCUUUGCCUUUCUUUGCUCCGGUCCAUUGCAAGAAAAUGUUCGGUGUACCGCUCCGCUCAUACGACCGAUCUGAGGAGCACGUGCGAUGUUUGUUUAGCAUGCAUGGUUGUAUUACGGAUAAAACUGGAGGCGAUCGUUGUCGCGGACAACAUUACGGCUCGGCGGCGCCGACGUAUCACUUCCCAAUGAAAAAAGCAAGUGGCAGACAGAGUGUACGCACGGGCUUUCUUAGAGCAUGGCGGCCUCCGAAUGUCGCGGACGAUAUUAUGGCUCGGCAGGCGCCCCAAACCGGCCUCGAACGCCCGGUCGGCCCUUCCGAUCAUUGAUCGAUCACGAUUUUCCGAUCUAAGCGGGUCCUUCAAAUGGGACUCAAACGUCCGGGCUGUCCGACAUCCUUUAUAUCCAGCCUAAAUAAAUGGUGAAUAUAGGGCGUCCGGGCACGUCCGCCACGUCGAUCUGACGACGAAGUCCCACGCGUAAACGUCCGGAAACCCGGCAGUCCGACGGAGGUUGCGUCCGUCGCUGUGGUGUGAACACCGCGUGGCGCCGCUCCGGCUCACCGUCCAAGACCAAAUCCGGCUAUUUAAGCCGGCCGGCGUCCCGCAACCCUAACUCAUCCGCCUCUCCCUUCUCCGCGCCGCCAGUCCGAGCCCAUCCACCUCCUCCCUCUCCCGCUCAGGCGCUUCGCCACGGUUCGGAGGAAGAUCACCUACUACGCAAUGCUCACACCGGAGCGCCACUACGAGAUCCGGGCGAGACAAGCCGCGCGUUCUGCCCACAUCGUUGUCGGGUUGCCUUCGGACUCGCCGGAGCCGGAGGAGGAGGAGGAGCAGCCAGCAGAAGAGGGGGAGGAGGAGGCUUCGAUGAAGGUGGAGGAGACGGAGGAGGCGGAGCAGCAGGAGCAGGAGUUGCCGGGCUUCAACGGGAGCAGGCGGAGGCGGAGUUCGCCAUCGCCUAGUCGGAGAGAUGGCGCAGCAGCAGGCCAUCCUCGAGUCCGUCCAGGAUGAGACUAUGUGGAGGCCAACCGGGCGUUCCUCCGACACGAGUAGGCGGCGUCCCGACGCGCUCUUCGCCGAACUCGACGCGGAGACAGAGGUGUCGGAGGCCGGAGCGUAGCAACCGGAGGUGUCGGAGGAGCCAGAGCUGCAGCUGCUGAAGGAAAUAUGCCCUAGAGGCAAUAAUAAAGUUAUUAUUUAUUUCCUUAUAUCAUGAUAAAUGUUUAUUAUUCAUGCUAGAAUUGUAUUAACCGGAAACCUGAUACAUGUGUGAAUACAUAGACAAACAGAGUGUCACUAGUAUGCCUCUACUUGACUAGCUCGUUGAUCAAAGAUGGUUAUGUUUCCUAGCCAUAGACAUGAGUUGUCAUUUGAUUAACGGGAUCACAUCAUUAGGAGGAUGAUGUGAUUGACUUGACCCAUUCCGUUAGCUUAGCACUCGAUCGUUUAGUAUGUUGCUACUGCUUUCUUCAUGACUUAUACAUGUUCCUAUGAUUAUGAGAUUAUGCAACUCCCGUUUACCGGAGGAACACUUUGUGUGCUACCAAACGUCACAACGUAACUGGGUGAUUAUAAAGGUGCUCUACAGGUGUCUCCGAAGGUACUUGUUGGGUUGGCGUAUUUCGAGAUUAGGAUUUGUCACUCCGAUUGUCGGAGAGGUAUCUCUGGGCCCUCUCGGUAAUGCACAUCACUAUAAGCCUUGCAAGCAUUGUAACUAAUGAGUUAGUUGCGGGAUGAUGUAUUACGGAACGAGUAAAGAGACUUGCCGGUAACGAGAUUGAACUAGGUAUUGAGAUACCGACGAUCCAAUCUCGGGCAAGUAACAUACCGAUGACAAAGGGAACAACGUAUGUUGUUAUGCGGUCUGACCGAUAAAGAUCUUCAUAGAAUAUGUGGGAGCCAAUAUGAGCAUCCAGGUUCCGCUAUUGGUUAUUGACCGGAGACGUGUCUCGGUCAUGUCUACAUAGUUCUCGAACCCGUAGGGUCCGCACGCUUAAAGUUCGAUGACGGUGAUAUUAUGAGUUUAUGUGUUUUGAUGUACCGAAGGUAGUUCGGAGUCCCGGAUGAGAUCGGGGACAUGACAAGGAGUCUCAAAAUGGCCGAGAAGUAAAGAUCGAUAUAUUGGACGACUAUACUUGGACUUCGGAUAGGUUCCGAGUGAUUCGGGUAUUUAUCGGAGUACCGGAGAGUUACGAGAAUUCGCCGGGGAGAAGUAUUGGGCCUUAUUGGGCCAUACGGGAAUAGAGGAGAGAGGCCAAAAGGAAGGAGGCGCGCACCCCCCCUCUGGUCCGAAUUGGACAAGGGGUGCAGCCCCCUUUUCCUUCUCCCUCUCCCCCUCUUUCCUUCUCUCCUACUCCAACAAGGAAAGGAGGAGUCCUACUCCCGGUGGGAGGAGGACUCCCCCCUUGGCGCACCCUCCUCCUUGGCCGGCCGCCUCCCCCUUGCUCCUUUAUAUACGGGGGCAGGGGGGCACCCCAUAGACACAACAAUUGAUCGUUUGAUCUUUUAGCCGUGUGCGGUGCCCCCCUCCACCAUAGUCUACCUCGAUAAUACUGUAGCGGUGCUUAGGCGAAGCCCUGCGUCGGUAGAACAUCAUCCUCAUCACCACGCCGUCGUGCUGACGAAACUCUCCCUCAACACUCGGCUGGAUCGGAGUUCGAGGGACGUCAUCGGGCUGAACGUGUGCUGAACUCGGAGGUGCCGUGCGUUCGGUACUUGAUCGGUCGGAUCGUGAAGACGUACGACUACAUAAUUGUUGUUCCGUUUACAUGAAUAAAACCUUCUAUGGUCAUACACCCAAUGAAAAUGGUUUGUUGAUUCUCGAUCGUAGUGAUACACAUAUUCAUAAUAUUGAAGCCAAAAGAUGCAAAGUUAAUAAUGAUAGUGCAACUUAUUUGUGGCACUGCCGUUUAGGUCAUAUUGGUGUAAAACGCAUGAAGAAACUCCAUGCUGAUGGGAUUUUGGAAUCACUUGAUUAUGAAUCACUUGAUGCUUGCGAACCAUGCCUAUUGGGCAAGAUGACUAAAACGCCGUUCUCCGGAACAAUGGAGCAAGCAACAGAUUUGUUGGAAAUCAUACAUACUGAUGUAUGUGGUCCGAUGAAUAUUGAGGCUCGUAGCGGGUAUCAUUAUUUUCUGACCUUCACAGAUGAUUUGAGCAGAUAUGGGUAUAUCUACUUAACGAAACAGAAGUCUGAAACAUUUGAAAAGUUCAUAUAAUUUCAGAGUGAAGUGAAAAAUCAUCGUAACAAGAAAAUAAAGUUUCUACGAUCUGAUCGUGGAGAAGAGUAUUUGAGUUACGAGUUUGGUCUUCAGUUAAAACAAUGUGAAAUAGUUUCACUGCUCACGCCACCUGGAACACCACAGUGUAAUGGUGUGUCCGAACAUCGUAACCGUACUUUAUUAGAUAUGGUGCAAUCUAUGAUGUCUCUUACCGAUUUACCACUAUCGUUUUGGGGUUAUGCAUUAAAGACAGUUGCAUCCACGUUAAAAAGGGCACCGUCUAAGUCCGUUGAGACGACACAAUAUGAACUGUGGUUUGGCAAGAAACCAAAGUUGUCGUUACUUAAAGUUUGGGGUUGUGAUGCUUAUAUGAAAAAGUUUCAUCCUGAUAAGCUCAAACCCAAAUCGGAGAAGUAUGUCUUCAUAGGAUACCCAAAGGAGACUGUUGGGUACACCUUCUAUCACAGAUCCAAAGGCAAGACAUUCGUUGCUAAGAAUAGAUCCUUUCUGGAGAAGGAGUUUCUCUCGAAAGAAGUGAGUGGGAGGAAAGUAAAACUUGAUGAGGUAAUUGUACCUUCUCCCGAAUUGGAGAAUAGUUCAUCACAGAAAUCAGUUCCAGUGAUGCGUACACCAAUUAGUGAGGAAGUUAAUGAUGAUGAUCAUAAAACUUCGGAUCAAGUUACUACAGAACUUCGUAGAUCAACCAGAGCACGAUCUGCCCCAGACUGGUACGGUAAUCAUGUACUGGAAGUCAUGUUACUAGACCAUGAUAAACCUACGAACUAUGAGGAAGCGAUGAUGAGCCCAGAUUCCGCAAAAUGGCUUGAGGCCACGAAAUCGGAGAUGGGAUCCAUGUAUGAGAACAAAGUUUGGACUUUGGUUCACUUGCCCGGUGAUCGGUAAGCCAUAGAAAAUAAAUGGAUCUUCAAGAGAAAGAUGGACGCUGAUAGUAGUGUUACUAUCUACAAAGCUAGAAUUGUCGCAAAAAUGUUUCGACAAGUUCAAGGUGUUGACUACGAUGAGAGUUUCUCACUCGUAUCUAUGCUUAAGUCUGUCCGAAUCAUGUUAGCAAUUGCCGCAUUUUAUGAAAUCUGGCAAAUGGAUAAACAAAACUGCAUUCCUUAAUGGAUUUAUUAAAGAAGAGUUGUAUAUGAUGCAACCAGAAGGUUUUUUUCAAUCCUAAAGGUGCUAAAAAAAUAUGCAAGCUCCAGCGAUCCAUCUAUGGACUGGUGCAAGCAUCUCGGAGUUGGAAUAUACGCUUUGAUAAGUUGAUCAAAGGAUAUAGUUUUAUACAGACUUGCGGUGAAGCCUGUAUUUACAAGAAAGUGAGUGGGAGCACUACAGCAUUUCUGAUAAGUAUAUGUGAAUGACAUAUUGUUGAUCGGAAAUAAUGUAGAAUUAUUCUGCAAAGCAUAAAGGAGUGUUUGAAAGGAGUUUUUCAAAGAAAGACCUCGGUGAAGCUGCUUACAUAUUGAGCAUCAAGAUCUAUAGAGAUAGAUCAAGACGCUUGAUAAAUUUUUUCAAUGAGUACAUACCUUAACAAGAUUUUGAAGUAGUUCAAAAUGGAACAGUCAAAGAAAGAGUUCUUGCCUGUGUUACAAGGUGUGAAAUUGAGUAAGACUCAAAGCCCGACCACGGCAGAAGAUAGAAAGAGAAUGAAAGUCAUUCCCUAUGCCUCGGCCAUAGGUUCUAUAAAGUAUGCCAUGAUGUGUACCAGAUCUAUUGUAUACCCUAACUGAUUUUGGCAAGGCAGUACAAUAGUGAUCUAGGAGUAGAUCACUGGACAGCGGUCAAAAUUAUCCUUAGUGGAAUAAGGAUAUGUUUCUCGAUCAUGGAGGUGACAAAAAGGGUUCGUCGUAAAGGGUUACGUCGAUGCAAAUUUUGACACUGAUCCAGAUGACUCUAAGUCUCAAUCUGGAUACAUAUUGAAAGUGGGAGCAAUUAGCUAGAGUAGCUCCAUCCAGAGCAUUGUAGACAUAGAAAUUUGCAAAAUAUUUACGGAUCUGAAUAUGACAGACCCGUUGACUAAAAUUAUCUCACAAACAAAACAUGAUCACACCUUAGUACUCUUUGGGUGUUAAUCACAUAGCGGUGUGAACUAGAUUAUUGACUCUAGUAAACCCUUUGGGUGUUGGUCACAUGACGAUGUGAACUAUGGGUGUUAAUCACAUGGUGAUGUGAACUAUUGAUGUUAAAUCACAUGGCGAUGUGAUCUAGAUUAUUGACUCUAGUGCAAGUGGGAGACUGAAGGAAAUAUGCCCUAAAGGCAAUAAUAAAGUUAUUAUUUAUUUCCUUAUAUCAUGAUAAAUGUUUAUUAUUCAUGCUAGAAUUGUAUUAACCGGAAACCUGAUACAUGUGUGAAUACAUAGACAAAGAGAGUGUCACUAGUAUGCCUCUACUUGACUAGCUCGUUGAUCAAAGAUGGUUAUGUUUCCUAGCCAUAGACAUGAGUUAUCAUUUGAUUAACGGGAUCACAUCAUUAGGAGAAUGAUGUGAUUGACUUGACCCAUUCCGUUAGCUUAGCACUCGAUCAUUUAGUAUGUUGCUACUGCUUUCUUCAUGACUUAUACAUGUUCCUAUGGCUAUGAGAUUAUGCAACUCCCGUUUACCGGAGGAACACUUUGUGUGCUACCAAACGUCACAACCUAACUGGGUGAUUAUAAAGGUGCUAUACAGGUGUCUCCGAAGGUACUUGUUUGGUUGGCGUAUUUCGAGAUUAGGAUUUGUCACUCCGAUUGUCGGAGAGGUAUCUCUGGGCCCUCUCGGUAAUGCACAUCACUAUAAGCCUUGCAAGCAUUGUAACUAAUGAGUUAGUUGCGGGAUGAUGUAUUACGGAACGAGUAAAGAGACUUGCCGGUAACAAUAUUGAACUAGGUAUUGAGAUACCGACGAUUGAAUCUCGGGCAAGUAACAUACCGAUGACAAAGGGAACAACGUAUGUUGUUAUGCGGUCUGACCGAUAAAGAUCUUCGUAGAAUAUGUGGGAGCCAAUAUGAGCAUCCAGGUUCCGCUAUUGGUUAUUGACCGGAGACGUGUCUCGGUCAUGUCUACAUAGUUCUCGAACCCGUAGGGUCCGCACGCUUAAAGUUCGAUAACGAUUAUAUUAUGAGUUUAUGUGUUUUGAUGUACCGAAGGUAGUUCGGAGUCCCGGAUGAGAUCGGGGACAUGACGAGGAGUAUCGAAAUGGCCGAGACGUAAAUAUCGAUAUAUUGGACGACUAUAUUCGGACUUCCGAAAGGUUCCGAGUGAUUCGGGUAUUUAUCGGAGUACCGGAGAGUUACGUGAAUUCGCCGGGGGAGAAGUAUUGGGCCUUAUUGGGCCAUACGGGAAUAAAGGAGAGAGGCCAAAAGGAAGGAGGCGCGCACCCCCCCUCUGGUCCGAAUUGGACAAGGGGUGCAACCCCCUUUUCCUUCUCCCUCUCCCCCUCUUUCCUUCUCUCCUACUCCAACAAGGAAAGGAGGAGUCCUACUCCCGGUGGGAGUAGGACUCCCCCCUUGGCGCGCCCUCCUCCUUGGCCGGCCGCCUCCCCCUUGCUCCUUUAUAUACGGGGGCAGGGGGCACCCCAUAAACACAACAAUUGAUCGUUUGAUCUUUUAGCCGUGUGCGGUGCCCCCUCCACCAUAGUCUACCUCGAUAAUACUGUAGCGGUGCUUAGGCGAAGCCCUGCGUCGGUAGAACAUCAUCAUCAUCACCAUGCCGUCGUGCUGACGAAACUCUCCCUCAACACUCGGCUGGAUCGGAGUUCGAGGGACGUCAUCGGGCUGAACGUGUGCUGAACUCGGAGGUGCCGUGCGUUCGGUACUUGAUCGGUCGGAUCGUGAAGACGUACGACUACAUCAACCGCGUUGUGCUAACGCUUCCGCUUUCGGUCUACGAGGGUACGUGGACACACUCUCCCCUCUCGUUGCUAUGCAUCACCAUGAUCUUGCGUGUGCGUAGGAAAAUUUUCGAAAUUACUACGUUCCCCAACAGCUGCUUCCCAUGCUGCCGGAGCCGAGCACGGAGAUCGUCUACAUCUUCGACGACGAGUAGCUUGGUGAUCGACGUAUUACAUAGGUUUAUUUUAGUUUGCAUGUCUUUGUAUGGAUUUGAGAAUCUAGUAUGAGAUGUCCCACUACUAGGGAAAACCUUGGAAACAGAAUCUUACUAGCAGCGCGCAUUAAAACAAAGCGCUGCUGCUAUCUAGCAGUAGCGCGUGUCGGCAAAACGCGCUGCUGCAAUAAAAGUAGAAGUAGCGCGCCUGUACUAAGCCGCGCUACUGCUAUAAUUGCCACGACCUCGCCGCCAAGCUAGUUAUAGUGGUAGCACCUUAUUCCAGACAUCGCUACUGCUAUUUAACUUAGCAGUAGCGCCUUUUGAUAAUGCUCGCUACUGCUAAGUUUACUCCACUCCUUGCACCUAAAUUUAGUCCCACCUCGCUCGGCGAACAUGGUUUUUACCACCUUAAUUAUGUUACCACUUGGUGUUCAUUGAACUCUAUGUGUAGAAUUUGUGGCCGCAAUAUGAGUCUUCUCCGGUUUCUAAACUGGUGAGGACUCAUAUUGACAAUUCAGAUUGUACACAAAAAGAUCAUUGAUGAUCAAUGUAUUUUUGAUGUUUAUUUUUACAUGCUUAGACUUAGCAGUAGUGCGUUGUAGCAGAAGGCGCUACUGCUACGGGCCUAGCAGUAGCGCUUCUUAGCUGAUACAUGUUGAUAGAAUAUGUUUUGUUUAUAUUUUGUUUAUGCAGAAAUCAAGUAUUAGCCUGCCUCAUCCCCGCAGUCGUCCCCAUCGCCGACCCCCUAAGAACUCUAGGUGAGAAUAGCCAAAUCCCCAUGCUGUUGAUAUAGAUGAUAAUGUGUUGUAAAUGUCGAUGAUGAAAAUGCUAGUGCUAGUCGCCAUGUCAUUGAUGUCGAUGAUGAUCCAUUCUGAAUAUAGAGGAUGUCUUGGUGUUCUUGUUUGCAAUGUAUCUCCGAGUGGCCUAUGUUUUGCCGGAAUGUUGAUUCGUUUCCAUUCCGGCAUAUUUCAGGCGCUCGAUAUGUCCUGUUUUAGCAAAGGUCAUGCCGAUUUUUUUUCAUGAAUUUUAGCACGACUUGUGCUGCAAUGUAGGACAUAUCGAGUGCUUGUGAUUUGUCAGAACAGGAAUUCAAUGAUAGUCCGGCAAAACAUAGGGCAUUUUUCUAUGCCAUUGCUCAAUAUAUCGCAAAGUGUUUAUGAAUUUUGUUUUCAUAAUUAAGCAUUUGUUUUCGACGUCGACGAUGCCUAUCCCGCAUUCUCGUCGUCGACUCGACAGAGGUGGCCUGCUUGAUCAGUGGGGCCAUGUCCGGGACUGGGCUCCGCCGGGCUGGUACUGGGAGGUGCUACCUUCCGGGGCGCACAACUUGGUGAGGAGGCAGCCCGUCGUCGACCCAGACCUUCUUUGGUGGCUCGCGUGGGCCAGUGACAGUGCAGAGGCUUUUGUCCAUCACGGAGGUGGUACGUUACCGUGUCAGCGAGGAGGACAAGCACGUCCGUCGCUUCAUGGUUGCGUCGGAGGGCAGGUUCUCCAAUACCUGGCAGGUUCUUCAGGGAUCUCACUGGAGCUAUGAUCCUGUAAUGGUUCCUUCUCUUUGGGUGUCCACCGCCCGCGCCGAUACCCGUCGUUCGCUAGGGUUCUAGCUGUAUUAGUGAUGUUAUAUGUAUGAUACUAUUCGAGAUGUACUAGUGAUAAUAUUCAAAGAUGUAUGGAUGCAAGAGAUGAUUUAGUUUUGCUCAUUGAAUGCAUGCUAAUUUGAAAACUAAAAUUGGAGAUAAUUGAACGACAUUUCGGGUUGACUUUAAGUCUGUCGGGACUCCACCAUACAUGAGAGAAGAAGAAUGUCGACUGUUGUCGUGGGGGUCGUUCCUCCUCUUCUUUCUCGUGAUAGACCUUUUGGUAAUGCACGGGAAGGAAGGGAAGAAUGACCAUCACCGACGGUCGCAAAUGUCCGAGAGGAAUCAAUGAGGGAGUGUGUCCACCAUAUAUGAGAGAGGACGAAGAAUCCCGACUAUUAUCGUGGGGGUCGUUUCUCCUUCUGCUAGACCUAUGUUAUGCACUAGGGGAAGCAGGAGUAACGACCAUCACCGACGGGCGCAAAUGUCAGUGAGGAAUCAAUGGGGGAGAGUCUCCACCAUAUAUGAGAGGACGAAAAAUCCCUGUUGUUGUGGGGGCCGCUUCUCCUUCGUUCCCGCGUGCUAGACAUUUUGGUGUAAUGCAUUCGGGGACGAAAGGAGCGACCAUCACCAACGGUCGAAUGUAUACACCACGUGAGCUGAGAGUUUUCAAGAAAAGACUCGACAGACCGAUAGUCAACCCAUGAUGAAUAAUAACGAUCUAAUUUAGUUUUUGUAGUACAUAUAUUUAAUUGUACGAGUUUAAUCUUUGAAUUAUGAACAUAGGAAAUGUCGUCGAUGUCGUCGUUGGACGACGAAAGUCUCCCGGCGGAGUGCGACUGCUGCGGUGAUGACCGGGGUCUGUGCGACAGGCCUCACCUGGUAGAAGGUCGCCGCUUCGGCAUUAAGCUCCAGGAGACCUUUGAUGUUCAAACGGUACGCAAUGACGACAAGUUAUUUUUCAUAAUUAAGCACGACUUCUGCUACUUCAACGUGUAAUUUUCGUCUUUUACAAUUCAACUAGCUUAUCUCAUGCCAUGCAAGAGCUAUGUCUUUGUGACGCCCGGAUAAUUAAGCUACAGUAAACCUUUGCUAAUGAUGCCACGUCACCUCAGUGAAAGUUGAUAAACUCACGUUAGUUCAAAACGAUUCAAAUUCAAAUUUAAAGUAUAGGCAAGCAACACAAGUUUUUAAACAAUAAAACUAAAAUGUUCGGGUCGUGCCAAAUAAUGCGUAUGUAAUUAUGGUGGACAAACCACAUUUUUAUAAAGUAUUUAAUUGCAAUGAGGUAAAUAAAACAGUAACAAAAACAAAUAAAUAAAUGCCUUUUUCAGUUAAUAAAAUAUUAAGCUAACUUAUUUAUUUGCCCAAAACUAUUGGGGAAGUGGCAUAUUUAUUAAAACUAAAUUAGGAACUAGUUUUGUAUUUCAUUUAAACUAUAAGAGGGUGAGACUAAGAGAAAACAGAAACAUGAAAAUCAAUAAAUUAAAACAGAGAAACCCCCUGGCCCUACUGGGCCUCAACCCAACCGACCGGCCCACCGUUGCCAGCCUACUUAACCCACCCUAAACCCUAACCUAGUCGAUCCCCUCCCCACUCACCCCCGUUCCUCCCCACUCUGGAUCUGGAUCGAGGAACAAGCCCCGACCCCUUCGACGUCGUCGCCUCGUCCUCGUCCUUGUCGUCACCUCGCCGCCCCCAUCGCCGGAAUUCGCACCGCCCCAAGCUCUGGCGCCUCCCCGACUCCUCCCCGAGCCCGCUUGUGCUCAACUACAGGGCCUCGUGAGCUCUCUCUCUCCUUUUCUUCCCGUUUUCCCUCUCUCCCUAGCUCGACCCCAAGCUCCUGUCGAGCUGCUGCUGCCGCUAAACCCAAGCCCUGCGCCACCUGCUGUCCCUGCUGCCGCUGCGCGUCGCACGAGCUCGUCUGCUCACGCACGCCCGUGCUCGCGCACACCGCCCGCAACUGCUCAUCGCGCCGUGGCCNNNNNNNNNNNNNNNNNNNNNNNNNNNNNNNNNNNNNNNNNNNNNNNNNNNNNNNNNNNNNNNNNNNNNNNNNNNNNNNNNNNNNNNNNNNNNNNNNNNNNNNNNNNNNNNNNNNNNNNNNNNNNNNNNNNNNNNNNNNNNNNNNNNNNNNNNNNNNNNNNNNNNNNNNNNNNNNNNNNNNNNNNNNNNNNNNNNNNNNNNNNNNNNNNNNNNNNNNNNNNNNNNNNNNNNNNNNNNNNNNNNNNNNNNNNNNNNNNNNNNNNNNNNNNNNNNNNNNNNNNNNNNNNNNNNNNNNNNNNNNNNNNNNNNCCCGCGCCGCCGCUGCACCGCCUAGCGCCGCGUCGGCCCGCCUCCCGUCCUCACCGUGCCCACGAGACGCCGCGCCCGGCGCUCGUGCCCAUCGGGCGCCCACGGCCUUGCCCACUAGCACACCCGACCCGCAAGGCCCCUGUGCCACUGACAUGGGGCCCCACGCCCCUAGAAUGUUUAAAAAAAAGGAAUUGAAAAAAUUAUAAAUAAAAAUAAAAAUAUCAAUUAAUUAAUUAAUCAACUAAAUAAUUAACUUAAUUAAUUUUGUUUAAAUUAACUAAUUAAGAUUAAUUCACCUAACAACUAGUUAACCUAAUUAUCCACUUUUAAUUAGCUAAAUAGUCCCUGACAGGUGGGACCCACCUGUUAGGUUGACCAGGUCAACGGUCAACGUUGACUGCCGACGUCAUGCUGACAUCAUGCUGACGUCAUAAUAGCAUUUUUGAAUUAAAUUAAAUAUGUUAUUUCUAGAAAUUGAUAAAAUCUAUAAAAAUUCACAUAAAAUAAUCCGUAACUCGGAUGAAAAUACUUUGUACAUGAAAGUUGCUCCGAACGACGAGGCGAAUCUGAAUACGCAGCCUGUUCGUCCGCCACACGUCCCUAGCAUAGCGAUCCUGCAAAUUUCCCCCUCCAGUUCAUCUGUCCGAAAACGCGAAACACCGGGGAUACAUUCCCGGAUGUCCCCCCCUUCGCCGGUAUCACCUCCUACUGCGUUAGGUCACCUCUAGCCCCGCGUAUUGCCAUGUUACGCUUUGUGAUGCCUUGAUUGCUCUGUUAUUUAUUGUGUUCCCCCUCCGUUACUUCUUUCUGGUAGACCCCGAGGCUGCUGGUGACCCCCAGUUCGACUACGGUGUUGACGACCCGUCCUUCUUGCCAGAGCAACCAGGCAAGCCCCCCCUUGAUCACCAGAUAUCGCCUAUUCUUCUCUCUACUGCUUGCAUUAGAGUAGUGUAGCAUGUUACUGCUUUCCGUUAAUCAUAUCUUGAUGCAUAGCCUGUCCUUGCUACUACCGUUGUUACCCUUACCUGCUAUCCUAAUGCUUAGUAUAGGAUGCUAGUGUUCCAUCAGUGGCCCUACACUCUUGUCCGUCUGCCAUGCUAUACUACUGGGUCGUGAUCACUUCGGGAGGUGAUCACGGGCAUAUGCUAUAUACUUUAUACUGUUACAUUACUUAUGAUACUGUUCGGAGAUGGGGGCUGAAGGGGCAGGUGGCUCCAUCCCGGUAGAGGUGGGCCUGGGUUCCCGAUGGCCCCUGACUAUUACUUUGUGGCGGAGCGACUGGGCAGGUUGAGACCACCUAGGAGAGAGGUGGGCCUGGCCCUGGUCGGCUUCCGCGGUUACUUCAUAAUAACACGCUUAACGAGAUCUUGGUAUUUGAUCUGAGUCUGGCCAUUUGGUCGAUACGCACUAACCAACUACGUGGGAAAGAUAUGGGCACUCGACGUCGUGGUAUCAGCCGAAGCCUUCGUGACAUCAGCGACUGAGCGGCGCGCGCCAGAUUGGACCGCGUAACGUGACUUCCUUUGUAAUGGAGGUUGCUAGGUCUGCUUCCGGCCGCCCUCGCAACGUGUAGGUGUGCAAUGGGCGAUGGGCCCAGACCCCUGCGCCAUAGGAUUUAGACCGGCGUGCUAACCUCUCUGUUGUGCCUAGGUAGGGCUGCGACGUGUUGAUCUUCCGAGGCCAGGCAUGACCCAGGAAAGUGUGUCCGGCCAAAUGGGACCGAGCGUGUUGGGUUAUGUGGUGCACCCCUGCAGGGAAGUUUAUCUAUUCGAAUAGUCGUGUCCCUCGGUAAAAGGACGACCCGGUUGUACCUUGACCUUAUGACAACUAGAACCGGAUACUUAAUAAAACACACCCUUCCAAGUGCCAUACACCACCCGCUGAUUGCUCUCUCACAGGUCGACGAGGAGAGGAUCGUUGGGUUAGGAUUAUGAUAUGCGAUGAUACUUGGUGAACUUACCAUCUACUCUCUUCUACAUGCUGCAAGAUGGAGGCUACCAGAAGCGUAGUCUUCGACAGGACUAGCUACCACCCUCUUAUUCUGGCAUUCGGCAGUUCAGUCCACCGAUAUUGCCCCUUUACACAGAUACCCAUGCAUAUGUAGUGUAGAUCCUUGCUUGUGAGUACUUUGGAUGAGUACUCACGGUUGCUUUUCUCCCUCUUUUCCCCUUUCCAUUCUACCUGGUUGUCGCAACUAGAUGUUGGAGCCCAGGAGCUUGACGCCAUCGUCGACAACGACUCCUACUACACCGGAGGUGUCUACUACUACGUGCAGGCCGCUGACGACGACCAGGAGUAGUUUAGGAUGAUCCCAGGCAGGAGGCCUGCGCCUCUUACGAGCUGUAUCCUAGUUUGUGCUAGCCUUCUUAAGGCAAACUUGUUUAACUCAUGUCUGUACUCAGAUAUUGUUGCUUCCGCUGACUCUUGUGUAUUCGAGCUUAUGUAUUCGAGCCCUCGAGGCCCCGGGCUUGUAAUAUAAAGCUUGUAUUAUUUUAAUUUGUGUCUAGAGUUGUGUUGUGAUAUCUUCUCGUGAGUCCUUGAUCUUGAUCGUACACAUUUGCGUGUAUGAUUAGUGUACGGUCGAGUCGGGGGCGUCACAGUCUUGGAGAGGAUGGAUUUUGAAGAUCGUGAAAGUAUGGAAACAAUGAUAAUUCACCUAAGGACCCAUCAUGGUAUGGAUCUUGAUGUAAAUCUAUACAAUUCUGAGUGUUACCCUUUUUGGUUGCCCGAAUUGGGAAGCACUUUGCAAGAUGUAUGAUUUUCAUGAGGGUAUGCUUGUCACCAUGGAUCUUGGCGAUCCUGACAUCGCCCAAGACAAUAUGGACAUUUGGGUCCUUGUUGAUACGCUUCCAAUUCUACCGCUAUGUGAGUUUCUCAAACAUAGUUAUUAAUUAAUUUAUAUUGUUUAUUUCAAAAUAGUUGACAGCUUAUUUCCAUUGAUAGCUUAUUUUCAUUCUUCAAAGAAUGUGCAGAAGAUGGUAGACAGAACCUACUACACCGAUCACUACAAAAAAAAGACACAUCCGUGACAUUUUGGGCCGAACGAAUUUUUUUCUGUCAUACAUAUGACACUUCUAUGACGAUAAUUGUGACAAAACCCGGUAUCAUCAUAGAUGUGGUGGCUCCUACUUCUAUGACAAAAAAUCAUGACAGAAAAUGGGCUUUUCGUCCUGGGCGGGCUGGAGAUGCAGCUGCAUGACAUUCUUUGGGCCGUCCAUGACGGAAAAAACCGUGGUAGAAGCGAGGGCGAGGAAAAUUUCGGGGAGUUCCCGGUUAUGGUGGGAGGUCGGGGGCCGAGCGAUGCGCGUUUCUCUCGUACACGUACGCGCAUGUGUGCGAGGCGUUGGCUCUAACUGAACCCGAGCGAGGCGUUGGGCUCUAACUGAACCUGAGCGAUUGCACUGCAGCCACGCGUUACUGAACCCGAGCGAUCGAUCGAUGGCUAUUAACUGAACCCGAUCGAGCGAUUCCUUCGCUACUGCUGCUAACUGAAGCCGAUCGAUGCUGCCUCUGGGAUGAACAGUGAGCGUUGCGGGGGGGUUGGAUGAACAGUGAGCGGUGGCGUUGCCUCUGGAUGAACAGGACCCCGUGGUGUGGUGGAGGGCUGGAUGAACAGUAGACGGUGGAGGGGUGCCCGUGGAGGGGUGGUUGAACAUGACCCCGUGGUGUGGAGGGCAGGAUGAACAGUAGACGGUGGAGGGGUGCCCGUGGAGGGGUGGUUGAACACGACCCCGUGGUGUGGAGGGCUGGAUGAACAGUAGACAGUGGAGGGGUGCCCGUGGAGCGGUGGUUGAACAGUAGCCGGUNNNNNNNNNNNNNNNNNNNNNNNNNNNNNNNNNNNNNNNNNNNNNNNNNNNNNNNNNNNNNNNNNNNNNNNNNNNNNNNNNNNNNNNNNNNNNNNNNNNNNNNNNNNNNNNNNNNNNNNNNNNGGCUGGAUGAACAGUAGACGGUGAAGGGUGGUUGAACAGGACCCCAUGGUGUGGAGGGCUGGAUGAACAGUAGAUGGUGGAGGGGUGCCCGUGGAGCGGUGGUUGAACAGUAGCCGGUGGAGUAGCACGCGGUGGAGGCUGGAUGAACAGGAGCCUGUGGAGGCUGGAGGAGGUCGACGGUAGCCCGUGGUGGUUGGAGGAGGUCGAUGGUGGAUAUGAACAGUAUCCCGUGGAGUCCCGUUUUGCGGUACGCCACAACCCUCUCGAUGAACAGGNNNNNNNNNNNNNNNNNNNNNNNNNNNNNNNNNNNNNNNNNNNNNNNNNNNNNNNNNNNNNNNNNNNNNNNNNNNNNNNNNNNNNNNNNNNNNNNNNNNNNNNNNNNNNNNNNNNNNNNNNNNNNNNNNNNNNNNNNNNNNNNNNNNNNNNNNNNNNNNNNNNNNNNNNNNNNNNNNNNNNNNNNNNNNNNNNGGAGGUCCGUUUCCUCCGUUUUGUGGUACGCCACACCCCUCCCGAUCAACAGGACCCCCGUUUCGACCGUAGGAGGUCCGUUUCGUCCGUUUUGCGAUACGCCACACUCCUCCCGAUCAACAGGACCCCCGUUUCGACCGUAGGAGGUCCGUUUCCUCCGUUUUGCGGUACGCCACACCCCUCCCCAUGAACACGACGCAUUCCGUUGCCUCCCCAUGAACACGACGCAUUCCGUUGCCUCCCAUGAACAUGACGACGACGCUGUUUCUUCGUUCUGACCCAGCCAUGUACACGAGCCCUGGCCGUAUGUAUGCGCGAGUAGGCGUUCGAGACCCCGCCCGUAUGUACACAUACGUGGCCGUAUUUUCUUUCUUGCACCCUGGCCGCUGUACGUACGUGUACAUGCUACGUGCGCGCCUCUACUAUGACACGUACGCGCCUCUACUACGACACGGGCGCGCCUCUACAUCCACCAGUAUAUAUGUACGUACACGUUCGCGACCAGAAUGACAACGCUACGUACGCUUCGACCAGGUGGGUCCCGACUAUCAGGCACUUCCUUGACUGCGAAGAUGUAGCUGGUGGGUCCCAGCAGUCAGGGGGGCGAAUCGUUUUUUUUUUGCCCGGACGCACUUCCUUGCGUGCGAAGAUGUAGCUGGUGGGUCCCAGCAGUCAGGGGGAAACGUUUUUUGCACGAAAUACAGUGGCCCGUCCGGUGGGUCCCAGCUCUCAGGUGGAGGAAUAAUUAUAUUCCGCGUAAUAAGGAGGCACUUCCUUGCUGCGGCCGUGGACCCAGCUGUCAGCCUCUCCACGUACAGUCCACGUCCGAUGGAAGUCGUUCCUUGACCACGUUGACCACGCCGCGCCGAGAGCACCAGGGCGGUGGACGACGGUGAGGCCUAGGAAGGGGAUGACGGGGAGCCGGGGAAGACGCGGCAGUGGAAGCUCGCGUGGAGAGGAGUACGAGGGUUCACUGGUUCGGCUGCGGUGUGAGGCUGCCGUCGCCGCAGGGCCUGGCCAGCGAUGGGAAUAGUAGGGGCGUUGAGACCUCCGCGGCAGCACAGCCGGCCACGGGAGGCAGGAGCAUGCGGCACGACCGGCGCUGCUUUGAGCGGCUGGAGCAAGAAGACCAGAGGUUGAAGAAGCACUACGGCCGUUGGAUGGACAUCGUACGGUCACUGGAGCUAGAAUCGUUCAUAUUGACUAAAGUUGAAAAAGGCCCCCGUCCCAGUCAACUUAGUAGGCCCACAAGUCAGCCUCCCACCAUGGUGGGUCCCAGCUAGCAGGGGGGUAUUCAUUUUUUUGUGCGUAAUAAGGAGGCACUUCCUUGCGUGCGAAGAUAUAGCUGGUGGGUCCGAGCUGUCAGCGGCGGUAAUGUUUUUUUUCACAAAAUACAGAGGCCCUUUCGGUGGGUCCCUGAUGUCAGGUGGAGGAAUCAUUAUUUUCCGCGUAAUAAGGAGGCAUUUCCUUGCGUGCGGCCGUGGACCCAGCUGUCGGCCUCUCCACGUAUAGUCCACUUCAGAUGCAUGUCGGUCGUUGACCACGUUGACCAGGCCGCGCCGAGAGCACCAGGGUGGUGGACGACGGCGAGGCCUAGGAAGGGAACGACACGGAGGCAGGGAAGACUCGGCAGUUGUUUCCCACGCGGAGGGGAGUGCGACUGUACGAGGGUUUACUGGUUCGUCUGCCAUCGCCGGACAAUAACAGCAGGUGUGGGUGAGUAGAGGGAUGGCUAGGCCAGCGAUGGGAGUACGGUGGGGCGGUGAGGCCUGCGCGGCAGCAGAGCCGGCCGCGGGGAGGAGGGAGCAGGCAGUCCCGCUGGCGCUUGUUUGAGCGGCUGGAGCAGGAAGAGCAGAGAUUGAAGAAGCACGACGGCCGUUGGAUGGCCAUCCAACAGUCACUGCUUGUGCGUCAACCUUUUUUUAGGAUAGCCUCAAAUCUGUGAAAAACAGCAUACAACCCAUCUGCCAUUAUUUCUAAUAAUUUACAUCCCAUUUGCUAAUUAUUAAGGUUUUUUUGGAGCCCAUAUUCUUUUUGUUAGCAUUACAGCCCAUAUUGUGGCCACGGUUAAAAAAUUAUACGAAAUUUGGCAUAUUUCGGUGCGGUCCGAACUGUUUUUAAUCCUGAAAUUUCGACUCACAUUCAAACUGAUUUUAAAAAUAAAUGUAUAUCAAUAUAAAAUCCAACAAAUUCUCUAUGCAUAAAAAUUAAUGUAAUUUAAAAUCUCAAAAUGAAAAAAAAGAUAUUUGAAUCUAAUUGCCGGUUUGAUGUGUGUAAAAAAUGUACAACCCAUUUCUCAUUACUGAUGGGCCAUUUUCUCGGCCAGCCGAAUGAAAGCUCUCCUCGUCUUGAAAGAUUUGCAGCCCAACAGGCCUGACAAAGCGACUUACUUGGCAAAUCACAAAAAAACUGGGUUGUGGCCGUGGACCCAGCUGUCAGCCUCUCCACGUACAGUACUCUUCCGAUGGAAGUCGUUCCUUGACCACGUUGACCACGCCGCACGGAGAGCACCACGGCGGUGGACGACGUCGAGGCUUAGGAAGGGGACGACGCGGAGCCGGGGAAGACGCGGCAGUGGAAGCCCGCGCGGAGAGGAGUACGAGGGUUCACCGGUUCGGCUGCGGUGUGAGGCUGCUAUCGCCGCAGGGCCUGGCCAGCGGUGGGAAUAGUAGGGGGCGGUGAGGCCUCCGCGGCAGCACAGCCGGCCACGGGAGGCAGGAGCAUGCGGCACGACCGGCGCUGCUUUGGGCGGCUGGAGCAAGAAGACCAGAGAUUGAAGAAGCACUAUGGACGUUGGAUGGACAUCGUACGGUCACUGGAGCUAGAAUCGUUCAUAUUGACUAAGUUAACAAAGCCCUUCGUCCCCGUCAACUUAGUAGGCCCACAAGUCAGCCUCCCAGCAAGGUGGGUACCAGCUAUCCGGGUGAGUAUUCUUUUUUUUGUGCGUAAUAAGGAGGCACUUCCGGUGGGUCCGAGCUGACAGCGGGGGGAACUUUUUUUCGCGAAAUACGGUGGCCCGUCAGGUGGGUCCCAGCAGUUAGGGGCAAACGUUUUUUUUUGCAAAAUACGGUGGCCCGUCCAGUGGGUCCCUGCUAUCAGUUGGAGGAAUCAUUAUUUUCCGCGUAAUAAGGAGGCACUUACUUGCUGCGGCCGUGGACCGGGCUGAGACUCUCCACGUAUAGUAUACUUCCGAUGGAAGUCGUUCCUUGACCAUGUUGACCUCGCCGCGUUCUGUUGCAUGCAUGCGUCCAUGGGCGUGGUGCGUCCCUACUGUCAGCCUCUCACGUACAGUCAUCUUCCGAUGACUCUCGGUUGUUGACCACGUUGACCACACCGUGUCGAGCGCACCCAGACUGGAACGACCCGGAGAUGGGGAAGACGGGGCAAUGGAGUCGCAGAUGGAGAGGAGUGGGAAACUUCACUGGUUCAGGUGCGCGGCAGCACAGCCGCGGUGCCGCCCACGGGAGACAGGAGCAAGAACAGAGGUUGAAGAAGGAGCACGGCUGUUGGAUUAACAUCCAACGGUCCAACUGCUAGAAUCAUUUGUUGAUUAAGUUGACAAAGUCGUGCGUACACGUCCGCUUAGUAGGCCCACAAGUCAGUCACCAAAUCUGACGGGUCCCAACUGUCAACGGGAUGAAUAAUUUUUUUCGCAAAACAAGGAGGCACUUCCUUCUGUGCGAAGAUACAGCCGGUGGGUCCCAGCUGUCAGGUGGAUAAAUAAUUUUUUCGCAAAACAAGGAGGUCCCUCCUGUAGCUGGUUCGAAUCCGAACCUAGACUAUGACUAUAUAUGGUGCUAUGCUACUCUGCAAGUAAUGAAACUUACAUAUCCAACGUUCGCUUCUCCUCUUCUCUACUUACUUUGCCUAGCAUCAGAAGCUCUGGCCGCAGCAACCAUGUCCGCUGGCUGCUCGUCCACCUGCUCUUCAGCAGGAAACAACCAGAUAUGCGCCAAGUCGCCACCCGUACCAUCGCCUGUGGGUCUCAUCACACCCCCGCCGGCACGCGCACCGCAGCCGAUUGCUCAUCGCAACCCACUGCCGUUGGUGUGGUGCCACUGCUGCAAAUCACGCAGAGUCAUCCGUCGCGUCUCAACCACAAUUCGCAACCCUGGCCGAGUCUUCUACAAAUGCCCGAAUCAUGGGGUAAUAAUAUGUUUAAGUGUUGUUCUGCUGCUUUCAGUUGCUGAUUUUUUUAAUAGUUUGGUUGAUGAUCUUCCAAUUUGAUUCGUGCAGAAAAGGGAAGAUUCAUGUGAUUUGUAUUUCUGGGAAGUUGCUGAUGUGGGGGAAUGCAACUACGCUGAUUAUUUGGUUAGCCAAGGAAUCCCAAUACCAGCAGGUUGGGGUGUUGGACAAGUAACUGAAGGAACAGCAGAAGAGGAAGAUGCAGAGCAGAAGGUUAAAGAUGCAGUUCCUCUGAUCAUGGCCAAGCAACAGCUGCUGAACGGCCUUGACAGCAAUGAGGAGAUGAAAGAGCUUGUGAAGAUAAUGGGCAAAAUCGAUGUGCUCUGUAGGAUGAUUGUCUCUUUAUUUGCAGUGUAUGUAGCACUCGUGAUGUAUUCAGUGGCUACGACAUGAGCACUUUGCUGAAACUAGUAAUGAAUGAAACCUGUGUAGCAGGCUGGGCGUAGUGUUGUGAACAUAUAAUGAUUUCUAUUAACGGAAAUCAGGGGGUAUCCCCUUUUGCUUAUAUAAAUAAAUAAAUAGCAGAGGCCCUGUCGGGUCAGCUUUGUUCUCAUUCGAAGACGUCGAGCAAAUUGCAGUCCAACAGCAAACUAUGUCAUCAAAUUCAAGUUUCACAGCCAAAUAUGAGUACAACUAAACAACAAUGUCAUCAUGUUUUAGUUGUCAUAGAAUCACCAAACACAAAUCAGCAUACAUAACAAGUGAUGUUCUCACAGCAAAAUACUAAACAACAUGUUCAUCAGGUUUCAGUUGUCAUAGCAAACACAAUUUCACAUAGUAGAUAAAAAAACGUCUUCUGACAGGCAAAUACGACAAAAGCAAUGUAAUCAUCAUCCGCAGCAGCAGCGUCAACAUCUUCUCCAUGUGUAUCAGUCUGAAUCGUAAUUCCCCACGGUGUCAUCUUCUUCUUCGUCCUCAACGUCCUCGAACGUUGGCUUCUUCUUGAUCAACUCUUGUAUGUCCACAGCACGACAGGCAAUCUUUUCGCCGGCGUCAUUGACGUGAUGGUUCUCAAAGAUAUUAGGAACAUCUGUGUUAUCUUGUACAUCAGGAGCAGUGUAAGCAUCAUCUUGUUGUGCAACUUCAUUAAACGAAUUCCUCUGCUCAAACCUUUGCAAUACUCUCCAGUCAUCGCUACGUGCAAAUGUGUCUUCCAAGAAAAAUAUCUGUGUUGCUUGAUUUGCCAAAAUAAAAGGCUCGUUGGUCUGGUACGCCGCCUUGACAAUGAUGGAUUUGAAAUAAUCAUCAGCUCUGGGUUUUGCGAUCCUAGAAAACAGGUUAUACCAACGACAGCACAACAGAACCACACAUCGAUGAUCCUCGAAACUAGAGAUAUACUACAACUGAACAGUGUCUGCUAUGUUAGCAUACAUUUCAGUUGUCUCUUUGUCAUACGUAUUCGUGCUCAUGAUGGCACUGUUUUGUGUCUUCCUACCUUCGUCUCGUGCAAGGGUGUUGUAGCGCACAUCUCCAACAACGUAAGAUUCAUAAUGUCUUACCUGAGUAUCAGGACCCAUUGCUAGUGAGUAAAGGGCAUCAUCAACUGCCUGCCCAUCCUCCCACAUCUUCUUAACCUAUGGUUAGAAAAUAGACAAGCUGAUCAUCUUAUAUACUCAAUAAAUUAAAAAAACUGACAGUGCACUUGAAAAGCUUACAUGGUUCUUGAACCAUUUCUAAAAUCCUGCCAUAACCAGUUUGUCAAUGUUUCUUGGAUUUUGCGGCAGUAACUCCUCUUUGUAGACGCUGCACAACAUAGUGAUCGCGUCAAACAUCUAAAUAUAUAAGAAUGUGCUGCAAGUUUAGUAGAUUACGAGGUAUAAGCUGCAGUACUGCACUUACUUGAUAUAAGGUAGUAUCUCAGGACAGUUAUUCAAUACAUACAAACCAUUUUGUCCAAAUCUUUAGGUUUGUCCUCUUGUCGACUCUUCCCUGUAACUCGAACAGAAUAAUCGAAAACAUUGAGCCCGGGAUUGUCUUCACCCACCUCUUUGCUAAGCUGAUCAGCUGUUUCAAUGUAUUUUGAGCAGAAUGUCAACGCUUCUGUAGCAAUGUAGGCCUCUGCAAUGGAACCCUCGAGUCUAGCUCUGUUCCUAACAUAGCCCUUGAAAGUGCCUAGCCGCCUUUCAAUAGGGUACAUCCAGCCAUACUGUACUGGACCUCUAAGUAGUGCCUCAUCAGGUAGAUGAACAGCCAAAUGCACCAUCACAUCAAAGAAGGCUGGAGGAUAUAUCUUCUCAAGGUCGCAUAGGAUAGUUGGUAUCUUGUCUCUAAGACGCUCCAAAGCAUCUAUCCUGAUAUUGCUACUGCAGAGUUCUCUAAAGAAUUGUCCCAACUCUGCAACUGCUCUGUAUAAGUCAGGGCGGCCCAAUCCUCUAAGGAUAACAGGUAAAACCCUUUGAAGUAGGACGUGGCAGUCAUGAGUUUUCAACCCUUGUACCUUGUUUCCAUCUGCACUGACUCUCCUUUCAGGGUUGGAAGCAAAUCCAUGUGGGAAUCUCACACGUGACAGGACCUCGCAGAAUUCUUUUCUUUUUACCUUGUCCAAGACGUACACAGCUGGUGCCAUAUCCUGUGGUUUACCUUCAUCUUGCACCUGCAAAUCCUUUCUCAUACCCAGGUGUGUCAAAUCAAUCCUAGAUUUUAAGGUAUCUUUGGUCUUGCCUUCAAUAUUAAGAAGUGUGCCGAUAAUGCUGUCACAUAUAUUUUUCUUGAUGUGCAUCACAUCAAGAUUAUGCCGCAGAUCCAAAUAUUUCCAAUACUCCAAGUCCCACAAAGUGGACCUGCGGGUAAACAAAAAUCUCUCUUCUACCCUGCCAUGCUUCCUUUUCCCGCUACCAUUAACAGGAUGGUUUCCUGGUGUAAUAUGCCUGACCUUCUCUAAUUCCACUUGCAACUCAUCGGCGGUGAGCCUCUUUGGCGCAUCACGGUUUUCAUGCUUUGCAUUGAAGACAUGUCUUCGGUAUUUUCUAGGAUGCGGCUUGUCCUUGGCAAGGAAACGGCGGUGUCCAAUGUAACAGAUCUUGCUAAGUAUUGCGUAUGACAGCGGAUUCCUGUCACAGCGAACACAUGCAUUGUAACCAUGUGUCGUUCGCCCAGACAUAGUGCCCAAAGCCGGAUAAUCAUGGAUGCACCAAAUUAUAACAGCACGCAGAAAGAAAUCAGCUGGUGGGCUGCUAUAUAGGUCUCGAGUGAGAACACCCUUCCAUAGAUGUUGAAGUUCCUCCACAAGAGGCUCCAUGAACAAAUCAAAAUCCUUUCCAGUACUUUUUGGACCUGGGAUGAGCAAGGCCAUCAUGUAGUUUGAUUCUUGUGUGCAGACAUUUGGAGGCAUGUUGUAAGGGAUAACAAGCACUGGCCACAUGCUAUAUGUGGCGCUCUGGUGGCCAAAUGGGUUAAAUCCAUCUGAAGCUAAGCCAAGUCUAAUGUGUCUCGGGUCAGCUGCAAACUCUGUGUUUAUCAUUGAAGCUUUUCCACUCACUACCAUGAGAUGGAUGGCUCAUUACAUUCUGAUCUCUGUACUCCUGGUUCCUAGAAUGCCACAGUACAUCCUCUCUUGUUUCAGCAUCAUGAAACAACCUCUGCAAUCUUGGUAUAAUUGGAAAAUGUCUCAGAACAUUAUGAGGAUUCCUCUUCACAGCAUUGCCAUCUUUCCAUCUUGAUGAUUUGCAUUUCAGGCAUUCACUUAAGUUGGCAUAAUCCUUCCGGAACAGAACACAAUUAUUCUUACAAACAUGGAUCAUAUCAUAUCCAAUUCCAACUGCACGAAGGAAAUUCUUCAUUUUACUGUAGGUGUGUGGUAGCUCAGACGCAUCUGGGAAAGAUUCGCGGAAAGCAGCCAACAUCGCAUCGAACGAUUUGUUGGUCAUCCGCUCAGAUGUCUUCACCUGAAGAAAGGUGACCAUAGCUGAGAAUACAGACAGCUUAUUUCCUGGGGUGACAGCAACGUUGCAUUGUUCCAACAUGCGGGCCCACCGUUUUUCUUCUGCACGUGAAAGUUCACGGAAUGCACGAGCAUUUCGUAGCAUUGUUUCAAUGUUGGUCAAACUCACUAGCUCCGCCACCACCACCUCCUCCUCCACUUCCACCUGAGCAUCAGGCAGAUCAAGAUGGUGACCUGCUGCUUCCACGUAGUCAAUAACAUUGACGUUCACAGCUUCACCAUGAUGAACCCACCUAGUAUAUGUGACCGACAUCCCAUACAAGUGUAGAUGAUUUUGCUCAGUUGACUGGGGUCUUGUAACUGAAUUCAUACAACUGCUACACGGGCAGAGCACAUCUGAUUUCGGACCACCGUACUUAGCUCUGAUAAAGUUCAUGAAGUUUUCAACCCACUCGACAUAUGCAGCGGAGAAUCUUCGAGUAGAAGUUAUCCAAGUCCUGUCCAUUUGUUAGACAUACAAAUUAGUUCUUCUACUAGAUAUUACAGGAAAAACAUAUAUGCUUUUUUAUGAAGUCCAGAAGAAAAAUACCUAGGUCGAUGUCUAAAGCUAUGGCAAGAUAUUUGGACGAGCAGAUCUAAGUAACGAGAUAUAUGUAAAGCUAAUUCAGCAAACAGAUUUGAGUGCUAAAUUAUGGCAGGCUGUUUCAGUAGUCAGUGAGGCCGAGCACACAGCCAUCGAAUUAUCGAAGGCCAUCGCAGCAACAAAGAUCGAGUAUAAAACGGUGUAGAGCUAUUUCACCUAACAGAUUGGCUACUAGACCAUGGCAAUCUACGUCACAAUAAAUAUAUGGCAGGAUAUUUUAGCAACUAAUAGGCCUUGGCAUGCCAUCUCAGCUAACCAGACUGAGUGCAGAACAGGGCAAGGAAGCUUCUUAAGCAGAGCAUAUUGACAGUAAACUACUUCGGCAAACAGUGAGAUUAACAGCGUCUAUCAGCUAACAUUCAACGCUACACCGACAUGAACGGGGCCUCAGUCUAGAAUGCGCGUACCGUGGGAGAAGCUGACCGCCGUGCGUCUCCACACGAACGUCGCCAGCGGUGGCGGCGCUCACGGUCGUGCGCCUCCACAAGAACGUAGCCAGAGGUGGCGGCACGGCUAGAGGACGGCAGUCUACGAGAGCGUACUGUGGGAGCGAGAGGAUCGCCGAACCGCGGCGCCAACGUAUCGGUNNNNNNNNNNNNNNNNNNNNNNNNNNNNNNNNNNNNNNNNNNNNNNNNNNNNNNNNNNNNNNNNNNNNNNNNNNNNNNNNNNNNNNNNNNNNNNNNNNNNNNNNNNNNNNNNNNNNNNNNNNNNNNNNNNNNNNNNNNNNNNNNNNNNNNNNNNNNNNNNNNNNNNNNNNNNNNNNNNNNNNNNNNNNNNNNNNNNNNNNNNNNNNNNNNNNNNNNNNNNNNNNNNNNNNNNNNNNNNNNNNNNNNNNNNNNNNNNNNNNNNNNNNNNNNNNNNNNNNNNNNNNNNNNNNNNNNNNNNNNNNNNNNNNNNNNNNNNNNNNNNNNNNNNNNNNNNNNNNNNNNNNNNNNNNNNNNNNNNNNNNNNNNNNNNNNNNNNNNNNNNNGGAUUUUCGCGCGGUGGGCGGGGGGAGUUUGGCGCAUGGUCGGUUUCUCCAAGUGCAGUCCCACGUGUCAGUGAAGAGGCAAGCCGAAGCACGUUCCGUUUGCGUGAGCCGUGUGCAGGAUGAAACGUGUGUGGGGUGUAAUGCGACCGCGACAGGAGUGUUGUGAGUGUACCGCCUUUUUUCCUUUUUAACUAGGUGCUUCCCCCCUCAAAAAAAAUUGUUGCUUCGCGCGAUCCAUCGAUACUACUACUAGUAAUCCGGUAAUCCCGACUAAAACGGCGCGGCCGGGUCUUUUCCCGCGCGAUAUGCUGGGAGGUUGGCUUAGUUGGGUUUUUAGGACGAGUAAUGCUACACCUACAUAAUCCCAGUUACGUAAUUAAUGUAAUGUGAAAUAUGUGAGCUGUUGAUUGUAGAUUGGGGGGAGGGAGGGGCCCACCAUCAUGUAUAUUAUUCUGAAAGUUCAUAUACACCGGCCGAGAUUAAUGCAAACACGGCAGAUUUUCAUUACAUUUCGAACUUUUAUAGGACAGAAAAAUAAAAGAAACCCGACCCUAAACCUAUUCUACGGCGGCGACCGACGUCCUCCAUCUACGAUCUCUAUGUACGGGGGCGGGGUUCAAGACCCGUGAAGUGAAGGUGCGGUCUCCGGCGAGGAAGAGUAGAACACGGGAUACAGACCGGCCAGUUGGCACACCAUGCCCUGCCGCCUCCCAUGCCCUACUCAUCCUCGGAGGAGUCCCCGACCUCGGCGGUGCCGGACGUUGGACGGCGCCAAGUAGGACGCGUGGCUGACGGUGCUCCCGUCGUCGGCCGCCAGCGUGGCCACCGCUUGUGCGGUCGCGUCCGCGUCCGGCUAUGCCGCUAUUGCGUCGCGAGAGGCGACUUGAGCGAGGGCAGCGACCUCGAGCUUCAUCCCCGAAGACAAGCUCUCCCGCAGAGCGUUCGCACUUGCGGUCAUGGCGGAUGUGGUUCCAGGUAGGAGGACGAUACGCUAUGGUGUGGAGGUUAGCUGGGCGUUGCCGCUUUAAGUAGCGCAUUCCGGUGAGGCCAAGCAUCCGGGUGCGUCAUUAAGUCGCCGGAGUUGGUUCCUCGGGCACCGAGCCUCUUAACGACGACAUACGAACGGACGGCAUGAAUGGGGGCAGCUGGCGCCGGCUGGGAACGCACCGCGCGACGGCGCGAGGGACGAGGGUUUUGGUGUGCCAGGGUAGUCAGCUGCGGUCGUGGCAACAUUGGAGACGCCCUUUGCUCACAUGCGAUCCCCGCAUGUCAUUGAAAAAGCAAGACGACCCGACAUGGUCUUAGGUCCAGAGGAUGCAGUUGGCCGCGCUACACCACUCCGCGGAUGCGUCGCGGCGCCCCGUGCAUCCUCGACGAGCCGGGUGUUGGGGUGUGUUUGGAUUGUGGCCAAAGUGCACCUUACCAAAAUUUUGGUCAUGACCCAAAGAUUGGUCUUUGUUUGGAUGGUUGCCAUUUUUUUGGCAUGCCAAUGAACUCUAGCCAACUCUAGUUCAUUUUUCUUGGCAAUGUCGGCCAAAUCAUGGGCAACCAAUACCUCAACCAAAAUUUUGGUCAUGACCCACUCUUUAUUUGGAUGGUUGCCAUUUCUUUGGCAUGCCAAUGAACUCUAGCCAACUCUAGUUCAUUUUUCUUGCCAAUGUCGGCCAAAUCAUGGGCAACCAAUACCUCAACCAAAAUUUUGGCUACCCAAUAAUUUGAUGGGGCAACCUUGGGCACAAACCAAACAUACCGUUGGUCGUGCCACGACACUAAUGCCACCCUCGGCACACUGAAACCGACCGUGUCUAGCGACGAUAUGAGUGUGUCGCUCACCGCGGUCGCUGUGUCCAGAGGCGAUGCUGGAGCUACGCCCCGUUGUUGGCCCCAACGACCCACAUGAACGGUUGUCGGUUGCGAGGAGGUCGUGGGCUAGCUCCUCCAUUGGACUAGUCUGCGCUACGUCGUCCCGACGGGUGUGCCCCACAUGUCAGUUUCCCUGUUUUCCCGGCCAUAUUCGAGCGUCAGUGCUCCGCGUUGCGCAUUAGGCCUUUCACCAUGUAGGCCAAGCGAGACAACUUAUUGUUUAUUUGAGCCAUAGUAUAAUCAUGUGGCGUUUGCUUAUUUCUCAUUCCUCUCCAACCCUCUUCUCCAUCGAUCAUGUCGCCCUCCAGUCGAGUCCAUCCUCCUGCAUGCGUCAUUUGAACAUUCCGCCGAGUAUCAUUCGCAUGUACCCACCCUAGUCCUCUUUCAAUAGAUCUCCGGACCCCGAGAUGAAAUCGAGAGGGAACGAGUGGGGGCACAUGAUACCUAAGGCGGAUUCAAAAUUUUGAACCGGUGAUCAUAGCAUCCGCAAAUCAUAUAUAAAGGGUAUUCAAUGUUCGUUUCGUUUUUGAACGUACUAUAUACUCCCCCUAUCCUUUCUAGUUUACAUAUAAGUUUAAUGUGUAGUCAAAGUAUCUCUACUUUGAUCAAAAAGGUAUCAACAUUCAACAACGCCCAAUCAAUAUUGUUAGAUUCGUACGUACUCCUAGAUUUGUACUCGAGAUGGUUUCCAAUUUGACUAUUGACAAGAUUAAUAGUACAUGAGAUGUAUAAUGUGAAAAUUAUAUCAUUGGAAACUCCUUUCACAUACAAAUUUGACCGUAUGCUUUGUGUAAGUUGCAUGUCAUAUAUUAUUACUCUAACAUUUGGUCAAAGUUAGCCACGAAAAACGCAUUAGACCCUGUAUGCUUUGUGUAAGUUGCAUGUCAUAUAUUAUUACUCUAACAUUUGUGUAAGUUGCAUGUCAUAUAUUAUUACUCUAACAUUUGGUCAAAGUAGUAUAGUGGAAGUGGAUCCUCUGACGUAGGUAUCCCUGCCUUACCCUCCCUUUCGGUCACUUACUGGCGGACCCCAUGCUUGCUAGGCCCCGCAUGUCAGUUACUCAAAGGGUUCGGCCACGUCAGGGGAUCCUCAUCCGUAGUAUACUCCCUCUGUUUUUAUUUACUCCGUAUAAAACGGAGGGAGUGGUGGUAUAAUAAAUGACGCGGGCGGGGGAGGGGGAGGGACGUCGGUUUGCUCUCAACUGCGGUCCCACAAGCGAGCGAAAACGCAAGACGAAGCGCGCUCCAUUCAGUGAGCGACGUGGAGGGUCCAGCGUGCCGGGCUGCAACGCGAACGCGACAAGAGCGAUGUACAGUCAAAACCGAUUGACCGGUCGUCACCGGAACAACUAUUCACACCAGAACCUUCGCUGCUCGGCCUACGCCAGCCACUGCCCUAAAACCACACCAAAUCUCCAGCCCAUUCCCCCACCUUUCGAUCCCCUAGCCCGCAUCAAGCGUCCCCUAGUUCGCCGGAAAGCCAUGGUACACCGCAAGAUCACUUACUACAAGAUGCUGACGCCGGAGCGCCGCGCAGAAAUCGCGGCGGCGGUCGGCGCCACAGACCUCCGUUCCCAAGCUCGCUUUGCGGCGGGCCAAUCCCCGACUUCUCUGGAGCCAAGCUACGAGGAGGAGGAAGCCGAUCCAAUGUUCAUGGCGGAGGUCGCGGCGCAGAAGGCCCCCGAUGGGUAUGAGACGAUGGACGUCGACUUUGUGCCGGCGUCCGAGUCCCCCAUGGUGCAGGCGGACCAGCGGUUCAACAUGGCGAUACUAAAGGAGGACCAGGAGGCAGAGGCUCAACUCGACGCGGAGCGCGCGCAUGCCGCUGCCAUCGAGGCUCUCCUGCAGGCGGAACCGGAUGUCGUGGAUGUGAACCGGGCGGCGGAGGCUCAACUUGAGGCGGAGCGCGCGGAUGCCGCUGCCAUCGAGGCCCUCCUGCAGGCGGAACCGGACGUCCUGGACUUGAACCGGACGGCAGAGGCUCGACUCGACGCAGAGCGCGCGGAUGCCGCUCUCAUCGACGCCCUCCUGCAGGCGGAACCGGACGUCUUGGACUUGAACCGGGCGGCGGAGGCUCGACUCGACGCGGAGCGCGCGGAUGCCGCUGCCAUCGAGGCCCUCCUGCAGGCGGAACUGGACGUCCUCGACUUGAACCGGGUUGUGCUCUCGUCCGUGCAGAGCGCCCGCACGCUCUGCUUGAACGAGUAGCUGAAGGCCAAGGACAACCACGGUGCGGAGACACACGUCUGCAGCGACGACUGGUUUGCGCCGGCAGCCAAAGACGACGAGGCCGUCUCUUUCCGCGAGCAGUGAUAGUUUUUCUUUAUGUUGUUGUUUUUAUGGAUCUUUUGCUGUGUAAAACAUAUAUUUGUUAUGCAAGUCGCCUGACUUGGGUCAGUCUACCAUUUCAGGCGGUUGGAUGAAUAUCCUACGUCUCCUAACCCUUCUUUCCUUCUUCCUCACCUCCUUUUCUUCCCCAACAGACCACCGCACGGGCCGUACGGAUACUCCCCAACAUGCGGUUGGAUAAACAUACUCUAUGAACGAAAAUUAUGUGUCAGAGAUAGGAUGGCUGAGUUUGAUUUGUUCACAUGCGAUAGCACAUGUCAGUGAGGGUGCGUUCCCCUGGUUGGGUUUGCGGCGUGCAGGAGCGACUGUGUGAGGGUGCGGUGCGACCGCGGCGUGCAGGAGCGACCGUGUGAGGGUGCGGUGCGACCGCGACAGCCGUGCGUAAGUGUACCUCCUUCUCAUUUUGAAAACUUUAAGCAAGCUUGGCAAAAAUGUGUGGCAAAGUUUGGCAAUGCAAGGCCUAGACCCAAACAGGAUAAGUACGUACGUACUAGGAGUACUAGUGUUAAAAAAGGAAGGCGGGGUUUUCCUUCGCGGGAUUUAAUCGAUACAAAUCCGCGUUUCACGUGUCAAUUAAUGCGUAUUUUUUUCUCCAAAGACCAAAGAGCUAACCAUCUCACUCCUCAUCGCUUGAUUAAUGCAGCGCCAUGCAAACCAACCUUCUCACUUCCGCAUGCAUGCAGGGGAUAUUAAUGUCCUUGGUUGCUAACCCCAUCAAUUUUGCCUCGAUUAGUGUUAGUGGCCCUUUGCAAAUUGUAAUUUUGAUAUACUGGCCUUGUGUACAAAAAAAAUGGAGGUAGUAACUAUAUUUGACUUCCUUCCCCAUUGCGGUGACGUCGAUGAUAUCUUUUUUUUGGUGGUUUGGCGAAGUGCGUUCGACGCAGAACACCAUUGAGGGAGACCACGGUAAGUCGUUCGCAAGUGCCGCCUGCAAGCCGAGACAACCGCCUUAUUUGCAUCCAGGAAGUCCUUUACUAGUACUACUAGGAGUACUAGUGCGGUGAGAUGGUUUCUCGAAGAAGACGAUGGAGAAGCGGAGUCAGCGAAGAGUGAAAUGAUGGUUGCUUCGUCCGUGCUUUUGUGAUUUGACGCCUCACUGCUUUGUGAUUUGUGAUAGAAGGGACAGGGGAGUAGACUCUGUGCUCUAUACUGUACUACAUGCGUCCAAGCAUGGGAGAAAGAGGAGAGACGUUGCAUUUUUCUAUUCCUUCAAUCAAUCAAGCAGGGAGCUUCGGUUCCAUCUUUUUGGCUUUGGCAACACCGUCCACAAUGGUUCCCAUGAUGCCAAAAGCUAUUUUCACAUUUGGCUACACAUUGUGGAUGCCCUUAACCGUACAACUUGAUUUUGCUCCUGUGUGCUAUCUAUACAAAUCUCAAUUAUAUUGAUCUAAAAAAUUAUAGAAUCAAGAUUAGUAAAAAGGAGGUGAUUUUGCCGCGCGGAUGGCGGGGGAGGUUUCUUAUUUGAGCAAUGCUACAUCCACGUAAUGGUUUACGUAAAGUUACGAACUGAUGUGAUGUGGGACUAUUUGAUUGGAUUACAGGAGAGGAUUAGGCCCACCCCACCUGAAAAUCAGGGGGGUCAUAUAUAGAUUAGAUGGAAAGUAUACGUAGCAGCUACGUAGCCCUUUGUAAGUCUAGGAUUAGGCUUCUUAUUUUCGGAGGACGUUGUCCUGGGGGUUUGCUAACAUGCGGUCCCACGCGUCAGUGCUUUACCAAGCCGAUCCGCGUCCCACAUGAGGCAGACCAACGGCAAAAGCAACACGUGGUUAUGUUGCAGAAGAUGAGGCAGAAGCGGAUUCAGCAACGAGUGAAAUGAUGGUUGCUUCGUCCCUCCAACUUAACUGCAGGAAAGGUGCAGCUUGUGAUUUGACGCCUCAUUUCUCAUUACUACGCCGGCGCCAUGACUGGGCUGCUUCACCCCGACUGCUCUCACUGUAUUCCGGUAUGGCACGUGGACCCGGUAGCUUGAUGUCCCACAUGUCGGUGAAAGGGACUAGAAGAUUUAUGAAAGCGAGCGCUCCACUCUUACGACGGAGGAGUAGACGACACGACGGCCCAGUGAACUGUCACUUGUAGUACUGUAUAGUACUAUAGUUUUGCUGUUUCGCACGAUCCAUCGAUACAAACCCGAUUAAACAGGAAAGGGCGGGAUUUUUCCCGCGCGGUAGAUGAUUUAAUGUAUGCAAACUGAAUAAUUAAGUAACAAUAUGAUAUCUAGUAAAACUAAAAACACAUAUGAUUUAAUGUGUUAGAUUGUAGUAGUAGUGCUGUAUUGCAUAGUUGUUAGAUGUAACAUGCGAGAACGUGUAGAGAUGUAGUUUUGGAGGGCCUACAGAGAGAAAAGGGUAAUACGGUCACCGAACUUCAGAAUAAGCUGAUUACGGUCACUAUAUACAUUUUGCGGUGAUUAUACGGUCACUUGCUCACGGUUCAUCAUCGGAUUGCACUCUGUUGACCGGCCAAAUAGUCUGCGUGGCACCAUGUUGACUAGUUAAAUUGACCAUGUUCCUUGUGGGUCCCACCUGUCAGUUCGCAUAGGGAAAAGGUCAGAUAAACACAAAUUUACGCAGGCGCGACAAGACUCCAACCCAUGUGUGGGAAUCACCUGGUUGUGUAUGUGUCUGUCAGGGCCUGAUGUGUGCGCAUGCAUGUGUAGGUUGAGCACUUGAGCGUGAGAGUGUGCGUUGGUCGUGUGGUGUACUGGUGUGUGCAUGCAUGCGUGCAUGUGUGCGUGUGAGGGUUGCGUGCGUGCAUGGCUGCGUGUGUACGUGUGAGUGUUGCGUGCGUGCGUGGGUGCAUGUGUUCGUGUGAGUGUUGCGUGCAUGCAAUUCGUGUGCAUGUGAUGUAUAAUCACCACACCAGCUCCUGUGUGUUAAAACAGACGGCUCAGCAUACCAAUACGAGGCCACCUUGUCCGCUGUGCCCGCGGUCAUGACUUCGAACCACCGUCCAAUAUUUUUUUCAUUCUUACUAGCAAGAUGCCCGUGCGUUGCACAUAACAUCAAGAUGCAUUUGUAUGACUAGUUUAUCUUGUGAGAGAAAAGGAUGAACGAGGGAAGGCCUUAUUUGCAAAUGUGGUGUCGGAGUAAAUGGCCACGGGUAGCCCAAUCGACUACCCCUGGUUCUUCAGAAAAAUUAUCAGGCCUUUGGGCCUUCAAGCACUCCAAGCAUUUGGGCCGCCUUCCCUGGCCGGCUAUCUCUGAAGCCGACUCCCGGAAGGCGACCCAGCCUCGAGCAACCUCUCCCCAGGACGACUACGGGGUGGCCGACUCCAAGAAGCCGGCCAAGAAGGACGCCGGCUCCCAGCAGCCGGCCGAGACCACAACCACCAAAGCUGUUCCCACAUAACGGCGACAUGACGGGGUGUGGCCACAGUGCGGCCCACUACCCCCGAAGCCCGAGGCGGGCAUGGCCACAGGAGGCCGUACGGGACGGCCGUCUCCCGUGCGGCUCGGCACUGUAGCCAUGCUGGCCUCAACGUCACCCACGACAGACUCCUGUACGGACCGCGGGCGGCGGGCCCCUUCAGCCAGAGAGAGGCAUGAAGGCGGCCCGGCCUUUCCCAGUCGGCCAAGAGCGUAGCCGGCCCCCAGAAGCCGGCUACUCCCUUCCUCGAAGCAGGAGCCCCAUUAAGGAGACAAGACGAGGUAAGGCUACAGUGAGAGCCCCCGAGGCGGCCCACUGUAGCCACGCUUACCUCGAAAAAGCCCUCGUCAUCAGAGGCGCGGCUACAGUAAGCAGCCGCCGACAAGACCCUGGGCGGUGGGGCCGGCCUGUCGACCAAGUAGCCGGCAGCCGGCGGGACCCACCAGCCGGCGGAGAAGCCGGCGAGCGUAGACACUGACGGCUGGGACCAGAGCCCAGCCGGAUUACCAUUGUACCCCCGGGGGGUAGGCCUAUAUAAACCCCCCGGAGCACCCAUGCAAAGGGUUCGCUUCCAAGCAUAGUUGGCCUCUGAGCAUAGGGUUGCCUUCUUAGCAUAGCACACACACCAUAGAUAGAGAGAAGCAAGAGCUAGCCUUGUUCUUCUUCUCCCUUGAUCCCAACAGCUCUAGGAGCGAUUGUAGCCACCUUUCAUCGAUCUAGUGAUCAUGCGGAGACCCAGCAGAGCAGACCAACCACCCGACAUGUGGAGAGGUGUGUGGGUACCUUUUUGCAAAAUUGCCAUAGUUUCUUUCCUAUCCGUCAGAUAUAAAUCGGACGGCCUAUAUUGCAGGAUGGCAGGCGCACCAUCAUCACCAACUCUGUUUUUUAUAAGAGUGUAUUUUAUGUAUUUUAUAAGAGUGUAGAUGUAGAGUAGAUACAAGUCGAUAGGUGGGCACGAUGGUAGUGAGAUAAUGUGAUGCAACACUAGAGGUGCCACAUGGAGCGUUUAACUGGUCAACUAGUCAUGUCAUGAGCAAAUACAGAGUUGUACGGUGAGCUCGUGACUGUAUAAUAACCACUAAACGUAAAUGGUGACCGUAAUGAGUGGAUUCUGAAGUCCAAUGUAUGUAUCGUGCUUUCGCUUCAAAUACAAUGAUCGUCCUUGCAUAUAUUGCGAGAGAAAGAUGAAACAUGCGUGAAUUUUCUGGGGGCUUAUUUUUAGAGGACCUGGAGAUAGUUUUGUGUGCAUACGUGAAAGGGGCGUACAGGGGGGUAUGCGAUGGAGAGAGAGAUGCUCUUCGUUUCUCUUUAUUAUGACUAACUUUGUAUAUAGUAUAAAAAUAUACAAAUUCACAGUGCAAAAUAAAUAUCAUUGUGGGCACCAUGCAAUGCAAAUUAGCGUUCGUACUCCUCCAUAUAACUUUGUAAUGUUGUAUAUAUGUAGAAACUCUAAAAUAAUUUUUUGGCCACACUAUAUUCAAAAGGAAUGUUGUAUGCGAAAUAAACGUGAAGAGAGGGCUUUUUAGAUCAAUGGGGUACGUGAUGUAACAUGUGUGAAUGUGUAGUUGAUGCAUUUGGCGGGGCCUAGAGAGGUAUGUGUGUGUAUUACGUAUUCGAGAGAGACAUGGAUAGAGGGGCCGACCGGGGGGGACGUGGGAGAGAUAGCACGAGAAAUGAGAGUGGUCUAGAGAGAGAGAGACGAAUAUGACGUCACGACAAGAGAUUCCAUUCCCUUGAGUGUGUAUAUGCAAGGGGGGAGGGAAUAGAGGCACCAGAAGAAAUUUUCUGUGUGUGUGGUGUUUGUGUUGGUAUGUGUGGGUGUGAGAAGAUAAUGAGACGUGGGGGCAGAGGGUGUGUCACCGCGUGAGGUCUGGUGGGUCGAGGUGAGGCCCUUCGUUCGGUUCCGACCUGCGCCACAUUGGUCGGCCCGUGACGCAUUUAGGAAGACCCAUGGAUGACUAGUCGUACAAGACAAAGAUAGCAGAAUUGUGAAGGACUCUAUGUCCACUGACAAAGCCGGCUAGGAUUUGUAACCCUAGGUUCUCGGACUAAGGUAACCCCUUUAUCUCUGAUAUUACUAUUCAUCCAACCUAACUUUAAGGGGCAUCCUACGGAAUGCUCUGCUAGAAUCAUACUCGUCGAUUAGGAAGAGAGGUGUGAGACAAUGCGUGAGAGACAGGCGUAAAGAUAAUGUGCGUACAUGAGACACGUAGGCAGGUCCAUGUAUAUAGAAAGGGUCGAUGAGGAUUGUGCGUGUGUAUGUUUGCGAGAGGAAGAGUGCUUGUGAUAAAGGUCAGUGAAAACAGUUGUAAAUGGUUACGAGAGGGAGGGAGGGUUAUAUCUAGAGCAUGUGUGCGAGAAAGACACCUCGGGAGAGAGUGUGUGAGCAUGUGUGAGAGACCACCGAUGAAGAGUGAAACUACACGUAAAAUACUGCUCUACACAUUGAUUAAAGAUAUAAAUUGUAUCCAAAUAUUAGGAUGGGAUCAUGAUAUUUGCAAUUCGCGUAAGGAGCGGUCAUUGAUCCAUCAGACAUCUAGAUUCUAUCAAUUUGAGCAUGUCUAUGUUAUUAUUCGACAUAAUUGAUCCACAUAGUUAGUAUUUUGAACUCCAGACAAUGCAUUGCUUUAGCAAUCGAAUAUAAAUGUGAGUAUAGUUCUUGUUGUGUGUGUAAAGCACAAUAUACAUACGAAAGUUACACAAUGGACAUUAUAAAUAGCUACCUAUGAACUAGCAUACAUUUGAAUUCAACUUAAGGUGGUUUAAAAAAAUCGAAUUCAACAUGAAGUCCAUUCAAUUAUUUGAAUUUGAUAUCAUGGCAUUUGUAAACCAUACCUAAAUUAUGGGGGCACCAAUCUUUGCUCUGAUUUUGUACAUAAUAGCAUAUGUAGUCGUGUACAAAAUAGAUUCAAAUUUAGCUCCUCCAUUCCAAAAUAAUGGUAGUUAUAGGAUUUUCAAGUGUCAAAAUUUCAAAAAGAAGCGGAUAAUUUAAUGAGGUUUUCAAACAUACAAGGUCAAAUAUAACGUUCUCUAUUUAGGUCAAUCCUCAUAGUUUAAGAGUACUCUAAACGUGAAUGCUUGUGUUUCAAAAUUUCGAACGAAGCGCCAAAAGAGCCUCUGCUCGCCCGAAACCGCGUGAGACCAAUGUUUGGUAGUACAAGGAAAUUACUUUUCUAAUAACUCCGACCCGUGAAACCUACCGGCCCGACGUCCAAAGGUCUAAACCGGGGUAGGUUUGUAGCUUCAUCUAGACGCCACGCAACCGCAUCCGAAAAACAUUCACACACAAUGGCCGCCUAAGCACACAUGCGCGCAGCCGAAAUCGCUCCCGCCCACUAUUUGGGAAACCUGGGAUUACCAUCCUACCCCCGACCCGCAGUAGGUCUGAAAUUUAAGAGGGGGGCAAAGUUUGUACUUUCCCCAAAUUUCAAACAAGCGCGUCCCAUCUUCUGUUCAAAAAAGCCAAAAACAAGCGCGUCCCAGACCGAAACAUGGUUCCCCCACCCGUCCGAUUCCCCAUUCGUACUCCGUGGGCGCCAAAACUACCUCUCCACCAGCCGCGAAACCCCGGCGUCCUCCGUCCACCACCCCAUCCCACCCAUCAACUGCCGCCCUCCUCCAUCACGCCUGAGCCGAUACCCCGACGUCGUCAUCCACCGCAACCUCAACCGCAACGCCCUCCACGGCUAGUAGUUGAAGCCGAGGCCGAGCCGUCCGUACCCGAGCCAGUUCAACCACGUCGUCCUGCGCCUCACCACUGCCGCUCCAACUUGGCCACCCUCCACCGCACCGGAGCUGUUCCUGCUACGCCGUCCUUCGCCGCCUCGGAUCUGCUUCCCCUCCGCCGACAUACGGCCACGGCAACACAGUCAACAAUUUGGCCAUGGGUUCGUCCAAGCCUGCACCCUCCAGAACAUCGGUUUCCCCGGUAAGAAGAAGAAGAUCGGCGCGACAUGUGGAGGUGACCACACCGGCAACCGAAAAGGGUACUCCCCUUCCCUUAUUCGUGCAAAUCUUACGUCUCUGCUUGCAUGGUAUUCAUCCCACAGAAGACACUAGUUGACCGCUUCUUCUUGAUACUAGAUGUUCCUAGUAACUCGCGAUGCACAAGGUUUCUCCUCAUAUACUAUAUCACCUUAGCUAGAGGUCCGUCGCCCCCCUGAAUUUCAAUUUCUGGCCAGUUGAUUCCCAAUUAACGGAAGCAUUCCCCGGCGUAACAUGCGCUUGUACGCCUAUUACGCCGGGGAAGCAGCGCCUUGGUGUUUAUCUUAGGGGCGUGUGCGGCCUAGAGCUACUGGCGCCCGAUCUGGAGGUCGGCCGGGAUUAAAGGGAUGGCCUGGGGGCGCUGCCAAGCACGGCGGUGGUGUGAGGUCGAUGGGAGGGCAGGGCGGCGGAGGCAGGGGUCUGGGCCGGUGGUCGCUAGCGGUUCGAGAAAGAUCGUCAACAGUAACUGGCGGGAGGUAGACGAAGGCCAUCUGCCCGUUCCUUAUAGAUCGGACGGUUCAUUAAAAAACCGACUGACCUAUUUAUUUUUAGUCGACUGUUAUGUUAGAUAUGACCACAUGUGGUGGUGUGCUGGAGGAGUACCUGCAUUUCCUGUGCUCAUAUAUUACAAAAUCAUACGGAGUAGAAUCUAAUUUUGUUUGCCAUGCAAUGUUGUAGAGCUAUCAUAUGUCUCAUGCCAUCUAUUUUUCAGCCACCUGCUAUCUGCUACUUUUACAAUGCACUAAUUCUGCACACACUUCACCCUUACUCUCACUAUUGUGUUUUUAUACAAGGGUAUUUCAGACUCUGCUGCCAGGAGAGAAGCCAAAAAGAAAAGAGAGAAGUCGCUCCAGCUUCGUGUGCGAGUAGGCAAGACACGUUACAGCGCUAUAAAGGGUGCAGCGUCAGCAGAUGGAGACGGUAAACGUAGCUCUGGAGUUGAUGACCUUGCUCGCAAUGAACCACCAUCCCAGGUGCUUGCUUUAACUUCACGGUCUCAUAUGUGGUUGCAUGUUCCAUAUGGUGUCUAGCUUGUAUUCGAAAGGCCGAAGUCGGUAAGAUAAGGAAAGAUUUUUUUUACAUGAACCACCAUCCCGUGAGCAGCAGAAGACAAAUAGCUAGUCAGGGCACUGGCCGAGCCAGUGACAAGCCCAGCAAAGAUAGGCAUCACCUGGAAGCCAACUAAAAAGCUGCGAUGGUGGCGAAGCAGCCCGCCUCCCACCAGGCUCUCAGGUCCUAGAUGAUCAUGCUCACCACUCCAGCCGGAUGUCUAGCUUGUAUUGCUUCCAAUUUGGUUAAAUUGCAUCUGCUUAGCUUAGACAUUAUACCUUUGAAUAUGACAUGCCUUUCUGUUUUUGGUACAUACUAGUACAUCUGUGUAUUAACCAUGUUCUUACAUCAAACUAAUGUUCUUGUGUAUCCCUCAUCAAUCACUUAUGACGAGGCAGGCAGGCAAGGCGACUACUCCUCAUUUAAAGAAUGCAGCGUCAGCCUCCCGACAUGAUUCUCAAGAAACAGAAAUGCUAGAUUAAGAUAGUGAACAUAGCUCUGUAGUUGAUUACAGCAUUUCCCCUACACUAGCAUCGCAGGUGCUUGCUCUAACUUGGCAGCGUGAUAUGUGGUUUCAUGUUGCAUAUGGUGUCUAGAUUGUAAUUCUUCCAAUCUGGUUAAACUGCAUGUGCUAGUCUGCUUAGCUUAUACAUUAUACCUGUUAAUGUGACAUGUCUUCCUGUAUUUAGUACAUAGUACAUCUGUCUAUUAAGCAUGUCCUUACAUAAAACUAUUGUUUUUUUGUAUCCCGCAUCAAUCAACAUGCGAGACACCUUUAGUAUAUGCAGUGCGAUAUUAGUUGCAUCUUUCAUAUGAUUUAUAGCAUGCGCUGCUUCUAAUUUGUUGAAAUUCCAUUUAUGAUGGGACGCUUUUAACUUGGCAGAGUCAUAUUGGUUGCAUCUUUCAUGUGGUGUGUAGCUUGCAUUGCUUCUUAUUUGCUGGAAUGGUUUCUGUUUAGUUUACACAGACAGUUGUGAACAUGCCAUGUCGUCCUGUUUUUCGUACAUAUUCCAUCCUGGUAUCAUGUGUUUGCCUUACAUCAAAGUAGUGAUUAUCAGUAUCAUGCAUGAAUGAGUUCUGAAGAGAGAAUUUUAUUGCUUUUUCUUGUCGGUUUUACUUGACAAUUCAAAAUCAAUAAAGCGGAAGGAAGUUAGCAAGGCAACGGAUAAAGCUGCUCCUUCCGAACGGAGGGCCUCUACAGUUUCUACUCCUCCACACCCGCAAGAUGAUUUCCAAGACAACACAUGCAUAGACACUCAACAAAGCUGUGUUUAUGAUGAGCACAUCUCCCCUAGUGCGGCAUCAGCGGUGCUCCCUCUAACUUGGCACUGUUAUAUGUGGUUGCAUGUUAUGUGUGAUGUCUAGCUUGUAUUGCUUCUAAUUUUGUUGAAUUCCAUCUGCUUACUUUACACAUUAUACUUGAAUAAGACACGUGUUCCUGUUUCUAGAACAUACAAUAUCUGUCUAUCACACCAUGUUCUUACAUCAAAUUACUACUGUUGUGUAACCUGCAACAAUCACUUAUCAUAAGACAUGUUUGACUUUGGAGUGUGAUAUAGGUUACAUCUCACAUUCUUUUCUAGCUUGUACUACUAAUUUGUUGAAAUGGCACUUAUGACGGACAGUUUUAACUUGGUAGAGUGAUAUUCGUUGCAUCUUUCAUAUGGUGUCUAGCUUUCAUUGCUUCUAAUUUGUUGAAAUGCCUUCUCCUUAGUUUACACAUCAUAAGCUGUGAAUAUGCAAUGUUGUGAAUAUGCAAUGGCACUAAUGACGAGAGACCUCUAACAUGGUAGUGUGAUGUUGUUUGCAUCUUGCAUAUGAUUUAUUUCUUGUACUGCUUCACAUUUGUUUAAACGACAUUUAUGAUGAGACACUGCUAACUUGGCAGAGCGAUAUUUGUAGCAUCUUUCAUAUGGUGUCUACCUUCCAUUGCAUUGCUUCUAAUUUGGUGAAAUGUCUUCUUCUUAGUUUACACAUCAUAGUUCUGGUUAUCUCUUCCGUCCUUUUUUUCAUACAUAUUACAACCUCCUAUCAUGUGGUUGUCUAACAUCAAAGUUCAGUUCGUCUGCAUCACGCAUCAAUUUGUUCUGAAGAACUAAAUUGUUAUUCGUUUUUCUUGUCGGCUUGACUUAACAUGGCACAGAGAAAGAGGAAGAAACACAGAAUGGCAGGGAAUGAGAAGCGGAUGAAUCCUGCAGAUUCUGCUGGUACUGAUGGUGCAAUAGAAGGUCAAAGUCCAGCGAAAAAUUCUACAAACACGACAUCCCAUGCUACACGAGUUGCAAAACAAGAAAAACAAAAACAAAUAGCUGCCACCAAACAAGCAGAGACAGCCCUAGUUCUUGCAACACCUACCACAGUACUACCAGCUGCACGACUUACUCGUGCGUCAACUGAGCUAGCAGCACGUUCCCAAGCUCCCUUGCCACUUGACACUACUUCCCAAGCACUCUUGACACAAGACGAGUUGGCAAUAUCAGAUGAACCUUGUGAGCUUCAGCAGCAAGAAGGCAGUUGCUGGAGUCAAGUUAUAGUUGCAUGCUUCUUUAUAUGUAGUCUCACAGUUUGAUGUACACUAACACUUCCUAUAUUCAUUGUUGGACUAGCACCUAGGCGCAAGAGGAAACAAACAUCAGGGAUAAUGCUCGAUAGGUUAACUAAAUCUAGAGGAGGAAGAAUGGAGAUCCGUUUUGAGGCAGGUUUAAAAAGGCCACGUGAUGCUACAGAGUCACCAAGUUAGUAUCAGAGGCAGCGGUUGCCGUUAGGUGUCAUGUACGUAUCCUCCCAACAUGGAUUCAGUACAGGAAUGACAAAGACGAAACCCAGUUCAACACCUUCCUCGACCAUUUAUCUGUAAGUAUGGUUAUGUAUGGAAACUAGUAAUAUCCUCUUGCUCUGUCCCAUACUUUCUAGGUUGCUGAUAAUGAGACUCCCAUAAUUUUCAACAGAUGAGGUUCAAGUUGGAUAGCCAAGAUGAUGCAACCAGACAAGCUUGCACCCAUGUUUUCAAGUCUGCUCUGCGACAGUAUCGGUAUAACUUGAGGAAAACUCACUUUGAAGGCAAGGCUAACAGUGAACUUUCCCAAACAUCUCCAGUGGAAAAUAUAUCGGAUGAAGACUGGAGGGGCCUUGUUAAACACUGGUCUGAUCCGAAGUAUCAAGUACAUUAUAUAUAUGUGAUCAAAUCACAUGUUGAAGUCCGAUUUACGCAUGUGCCACACAAAUCUAUCUUCUUGUAGGUGAACUGUUCAAAUAACAAGGCCAACCGUACGAAAGUGAAAUUCCAACAGACGACAGGAUCUCGUAGCUAUAUUGCACACUGCGAGGCUCUUGUAAUUAGCUGCUGUUUCACUCUUUUCGCUGUACCAUAUUAUCAGAUCUAUAUUGACUUGUUCGAAAUGCAGAGGAAAGCCCGCAAGGACCAAAAAGUACCUGAACCAAAUGUUGUGGAAAUCUUCAAGGACUGUCACACCAGCAAGAAGAAGGGCAUGACUACACCAGUCAAAGCCGCUGUUGUAAGUUCUUAGUCCUCAUGCCUUUUAACUACUACUUACUCUGACUUGUGCCUUGAACUGCAUGGUUUGCAGCCAAUGUCUAUUACUCUUUUCAAUUUUAUACACAAUUGUCUUAGCGUAUCAUUGCACCUUACAAGGUUUAAAAGAGAGGAGUGGUGUUCCUUUGAUCUUGACCCGUAAUCUAGUUCCGUGCUGGACUUGCCCACACAACGUUACAAUUGCCUGUUUGUCUGUUCUCAGUUGUUUUGUGAUAUGAAUGAUGUCAUACUAUGCUUACCGUAUUAUAAACUUCGUCUCUUUAUCCUUAGCCCGCAAUACAAUGUGAAGAAAUAGACAAUACAUUAGCGAUGGUACAUGGUCAUAUGUUUGGAACCUGGUUUUAUUAUGUACUUUGCAAUAAAAUACAACUAAUAUUUUACAUGGGUUCACCAGAAUAAGUUCUGUAUAUAGACCAAAGCUAUUUUGUUUGGUUUUGCUGCCUCCUUAAUAUCUUCUGUUCUGGUACUACUAAUGUAAAACCUCAACUUUUCAGCAAGCUAUGGAAAAAAUGGUGGAACCGCCACCUUCUGAAGGUGGCGAGGCAACUAUAACCGCAAUGUCAGCUCUUGCUGCAGUGGGUCAGUACCUGUCCACUAACAGUGCCAAAAGCACGUUCCUGCGUAAUACUGGGUUGGUUGUUAAGGCAAUAUCGUCCAAACUGCCUCAUGAUCAAGAUAUGCAAGCUCAAAGCAAUGUUGUAUCUGCGCUCCAGACACAAGUCCAUUCCCUAACAGAGACCCUUUGUGAAACAAGGAGAAACAUUUCUCAAUGUCGUCAAGAUAUGCACGGUUUUGAAACCAGACUAUCAGACAAUUUCUAUGUUGUUCAGGGGCCUAGGGGAAAUGAAGGCGAGGGUUAUGGUGCUCCAUCAGACAAUACAGCAUGAAAACGUAACAGUCAGGUCAAAUGAACUGAGCUUCUGAACUUCUGGUGGUGCAUUUAUCUGCUAGACUGUUAAGUUUUAUGCCAACCUUCCUUUUGUUAUAUAGUUGUAAUUUGUUUUGGUGCGAUACAAAAUUUAUUCUUAACGUGCAGCCACCGGCUGAAGAAAACAGCAAGCCAUUUUUGUAUAGUGUAGGGUGUUCCCUAUAUUUGCACUGGUGGCGAUCUUUGAUGCCGAGUGGAUGUAAACUAUGCAAUCGCCUUAAUAGCCUAGCGUUAGUUUCGGCCUUAUUUAUUUCCUAGUCUUCUUUUUCCCUAGUUUGCUACUGGCCGCAACUACCAUGGGCCAUAUACGGGCCGCAGGAUCCAUGGGUCUCCUACGGGCCGUCGAUAAAUGGGCCUGUAAUCGGUGGGCCUCGGGCCGUCGGAUAAAUGGGUCUACAUGGGCCGUAAUCGGGCUUAAUUGGUAUCGGCCCAGCAUGGUAACAGGCCGUAGGACAGCAAAGGCUUAAUUUUGUCACAGGCAUAACGGGUUGUUAAUGGGCCAGAAUAUAGGACGGGCUGGAAACGGUGCAACGGGUUAACAGGCCAGAAACGGGCCGACUCUUGCCAUGGGCCGAAUUUGGCCCAUUAGGGUAACAGGCCAGUAACGGGCCAACUCUUGCCAUGGGCCGAAUUUGGCCCAUUAGGGGAACAUGCCAGUAACGGGCCGACUCUUGCCAUGGGCCGAAUUUGGCCCAUUAGGGGAACAUGCCAGUAACGGGCCGGAAGUAAUCGAGGUCCGAAAAGGAGCCCAAGAACGUAUGGGCCGUCAAUAGGCCGAAAGCUAACACGGGCUGGAAACAGCCCAUGUAAAUCACGGGCCGUUAACAGGUAUAAAGAAAAUUACUGUUCAUUAUGGGCUAGAGUCACCGUGGGCCUGUAAAGGGCCGAAAGAUACGAAGGCCUCAUAUGGGCCGAAAGACGUCGUGGGGCAUACAUGGGCCGAAAGUGAAAUGGGCUGGUGUUAUAUUCGACGGCCCACAUGAGGUUGUUGGGUCGAUUUCCUUUAGGGCCUAACGGGCCGUAAAAUGGGCUAUUUGCGAAGAGACCGUUAACAGGCUUUUCUUGGGCCAGCCCGUUAACUUUUGACCAAGUCAAACGGGCCGGCUUUGUAAGCUAAAUGGGCCAGUGGUGGGCCGUGGCACGUGUCGACAUAUCAUAGGCGCCUAUCUGACCCACUGACGAGCUGACACGUGUUUCGUCCGGCCAAUAAGAAUUUUACACGUGGAAAUUUCCCAUUGGUCGGGGCUGUUAACGGGUUAUCGGAUCCAAAACCCGACCCGAUAGCUUAACGGCGUUCCGUUACGGUGGAUGCCACGUGUCGGUCACCCUUGACGAAAGCACUUCUGUGACGCGCGAUCUAUCGUCAUGAAAGUGGACACUUCCGUGAUGAUAAUUUUGGUAAUGUCAUGGAACACUUCUACGACAGCACAGGUAUGACUAUCUUGAUUCUGUCAUAAAAUCGUCAUGGAUGUACAUGCAUGACAAAAAACGCGACCUACUAUGACAAACAUGUAUCAUCACGGAAGUGUAUUUUUUUGUAGUGGAUGGCUCAGAAUUAACUUAUUAGGAGAAAAAUCAUCUGAUCUCAUUUAUUACUGAUCUUGAGAAUUACAAUAUCUAUUAUCAAACUCCUCCACAUUAUGGUCAAUACGUGCCACUAGUGCACGUGUUGAACUACGGUAACAUCCAUGGAGAUGUCAUGGUAAGAUUUUAUUAUUAUUACGACAUCCGUGCAUCUUUUGCAUAAAUUCUUCUAAAACUCAACUACAUUGCUAACUACGAAGUUAUUACUAUGUUUUUCAACAGAAUAUCCCGAAGGAUUGUGUGCCUCAUCUAAUGUUUCCGAAUGGUCGCCUUGAUGUUUUGAACUUACGCCAGGUCAUCCGACGAAUCACUCUUGUUCAUACCAAAUUUCUAAAACCGAUGAAGACAUGACAAUCAAAGAUUGGAAAAAAUGUAUGGUCUAUUGUAGGGAGCUACUUGGAAGCAACAUUGUGCGAAGUGCAAGCAUUGGAGACAGGAUAAUGUCCAUUCUCCAUAAUGGAGAGUCGGGGCCUAUCAUAUUUUACCUAAGAGAAGUUAGUAGUUCCUAUAAAAAAAGAGUAGGUCUUAGGUUCAAUGUGUUAUUAUGUGUUACAAUGUGUUAGCUAGAGUUGAUGAUGAUGAUCAUGAGGAGUUGUUAUAUGACAAUGAGGAGUUGUUAAGUGACAAUGAUGAUUAUGAGGAGUUGUUAUAUGACAAUGAUGUAUUAUAAUGAUAAAUUGUUAAUGAGAUGAUGAUGAUGAUAUGAUGAUUAUGAUGUAAAAACAAUCUCUAAAUUUCUACUGUAUGAAAACUUGUAUAAUGAUGUAUGAAUACGACAUAAAAAGAAAAA
RNAcentral lists this long non-coding RNA (67452 nucleotides) under Triticum aestivum (bread wheat). RNAcentral describes it as "long non-coding RNA (TAES_LNC009353)". The stretch from base 3655 to 3741 matches the Rfam family "MIR1120/MIR1122 microRNA precursor family". The record is from RNAcentral. Lineage: Eukaryota; Viridiplantae; Streptophyta; Magnoliopsida; Poales; Poaceae.